ACUACUACGGUGAAGAGCAUCCCUCCCACUCGGGGGCUUAGCCGCGAUCCAGCCCUCGCCUAAGUUUAAAAAAAACUACUUCGAGUGGAGAGCAUCCCUCCCACUCGAGGGAUUAGCCGCGAGCCAUCCCUCACCUACGUUAAAAAAAAUACUCUGAGUGGAGAGCANNNNNNNNNNNNNNNNNNNNNNNNNNNNNNNNNNNNNNNNNNNNNNNNNNNNNNNNNNNNNNNNNNNNNNNNNNNNNNNNNNNNNNNNNNNNNNNNNNNNNNNNNNNNNNNNNNNNNNNNNNNNNNNNNNNNNNNNNNNNNNNNNNNNNNNNNNNNNNNNNNNNNNNNNNNNNNNNNNNNNNNNNNNNNNNNNNNNNNNNNNNNNNNNNNNNNNNNNNNNNNNNNNNNNNNNNNNNNNNNNNNNNNNNNNNNNNNNNNNNNNNNNNNNNNNNNNNNNNNNNNNNNNNNNNNNNNNNNNNNNNNNNNNNNNNNNNNNNNNNNNNNNNNNNNNNNNNNNNNNNNNNNNNNNNNNNNNNNNNNNNNNNNNNNNNNNNNNNNNNNNNNNNNNNNNNNNNNNNNNNNNNNNNNNNNNNNNNNNNNNNNNNNNNNNNNNNNNNNNNNNNNNNNNNNNNNNNNNNNNNNNNNNNNNNNNNNNNNNNNNNNNNNNNNNNNNNNNNNNNNNNNNNNNNNNNNNNNNNNNNNNNNGGGCUUAGCCGCGAGUUAGCCCUCCCUUAAGUUAAAAAAAACUACUCUGAGUGGAGAAUGUCCCUCCCACUCGGGGGCUUAGCCGAAAGCCAUCCCUCGCCUAAGGUAAAAAACUAUUCUGAGUGGAGAACAUCCCUCCCACUCGGCGGCUUAGCCGCGAGCCACCUCGCCUAAGUUAAAGAACUAUUCCGAGUGGAGAGCAUCCCUCCUACUUGGGGGCUUAGCCGCGAGUCAGCCCUCACCUAAGUUAAAAAACUACUCCAAGUGGAGAGCAUCCCUCCCACUCGAGGGCUUAGCCGCGAGCCAGUCCUCGCCUAAGUUAAGACUACUCCGAGUGGAGAAGAUCCGUCCCACUCGGGGGCUUAGCCGCGAGCAUCCCUCGCCUAAGUUAAAAAUUACUCAGAGUGACGAGCAUCCCUCUCACUCGGAGGGCUAAGCCACGAACCAGUCUUCGCCUAAGUUACGAAAUAAACACUACCAUGCAGGAAAUUAGAAAGCAACUUUCGGAUGAACCCAGAAUCCCAAUGUGCGGAUAGAAGUUCUCAAGUGCAGAUAAAAGUACUUGGGCUAAAAGCCCGGAAGAGUUUUAACGAUUACAAAAUAACUCGGCAUACCAUGGCAAAUAAGUUUCGACUGAAAGAUACUCGGGUCUUAAAGUUCUCCUUCACGCACCAGGGGGGGGCUCACUGGCUCGACAAAAGUGUCUAAAUCUAUGCCAUCCGCAAUUCGAGUGGCCGCCUUGAUGAAUGUCUUAAUGAAGUCUUCAAACUUGAGAUUCUUUGUGUUCGCCACCUGGAGAGCCUUAAACUUUUCUUCCUUGGCGUCUCGGCAAUGGACACGGACGAGUGAGAGUGCCACAUCGGCUCCACAGCAGGCGGCAGAUUUCUUCCAUGCUUGCACUCGCCCAAGAAUUUCAUUCAACCGAGUCAUAAUAGACUCGAGAUCAUUCUGAAGUGUAUCCUCAGGCCACAACUCUUUGUCUAUCUUUGCCAAUGUAGCCUUCAGACGAGCGAUGUACCCCAAGACACCGUUGAGACGAGCUUCAAGUCGCAGCACAUUCAUAGCCGCCGCAUCCUUGACGAGUGACUUGGUGGGAUCCAGACCUAUCUCAAUAUGGUCAGUCUCCAGCUUGAAAUUCUGACAGAAUUGUACACAAAGAGGAGGGAGAGAGUUAGUUAUGGCAUCAUUUUCAAAGUUCUCAGGGAUUCACUCGAGCAAAAAAAAGGUACCUUCAAGCAUGAUGUACAUCUUCGUCGCAAGACUUCCCAAAUACUCUUCCAGUGCAUCCCUCUUUUGGGUGAGCUGGCCCACCUUGUCAUUCAGGGAUGUCUUCUCCAAUUCAAAAGCACUUGCCUGAUCUUCAAUCUUCUUGGCCCACUCGGCAUGUUCCUUCUUAAGCAGGGCAGCCUCUUUCUUCGCCUCAUCAAUGACAGCCUUUAGGGAUGCAUUUUUCUCCUCCAACUUUCUGACUGAGGCUAACUUUGCGUCAGCAGCCUCGGUCUUCUCUCUAGCCACCUUUUGCACCCCCGCAAGUGCAUUGUCCUUGUCUUCCAGAGUCUGCUUCAUGGUGUCUAAAGAAAUAGCAUUCCUGAGUCGCGUUUGAAGUUGAUGGUUUUCAUUAGACACAUCUGUUUGAGUGAAACUACUCAGCUCAAAGGACAGAAAGAAAGAACAACAGUGCAUUUGGUCAACAGGAUUUACCUCCCAGGGUCUUCGCCGCCGUCUGAUCACGACUGAAUUUCCUUUUCACCAGUUCCAAGUCCAGUUGGAGUUGGAUCUUUUCCUUCUCCAGGGUAACAUACUGGGUCCCGAGCUCACAAGUUCUCUGAGAUCAACAAAGAAACAGUUCAGUCGACAACGAAAAAGAUUCUAUAAUAUUCCUCUACUUCCGAGUGGGGAAGAGCAAAUUCAGCUGCUACAAGCAAACAAUUCUAAGACCCCCGCUAAAUCGAACAUUCGACAGUGGUCUCGGGGACUACACCCAGUGGGUGCACUCAGCGUGCCCCCACUGGAUACAUAUUCACUCGACCUUAGCCUGACCGGUCCAAGUGAAGAGCUAAAAAAAGAAAGAUUCAGCUGCUACAAGCAAACAAUUCUCAUACCCCCGCCGAAUCAAACAUUUGACGGCGGUCUCGGGGACUACACCUAGUGGGUGCACUCAGCAUGCCCUCACUGGGUAGAUUCCCACUCGGCAUGGUCUGACCGGUCAUGUGAAAAGUUACAACCUGACAUAUUCUAAGACCCUCUCCAAAUCAAACAUUUGACGGUGGUCUCGGGGACUACACCUAGUGGGUGCACUCAGCGUGCCCCACUAGAUCCGUUUCCACUCGGCCUAGCCUGCCUAGUCCGAGUGAAUAAUUACUACUGACAUUGAAAGUCAAAAGCACCUAGUGGGUGUACAGAGUCAAGAUGGACAGGAAAAAACUCAAUCGAGAAUCAACUUACAAUCACACUUACUCGGACAUUCGCCUGACGAGCUGUGUUGGCAUCAUAAGCCAACUUACUUCCUUCAUACACGUCCUUUAGGCGCUGCAUCAUCAGGUUGGCUUGAAUCAUGGCCUCUUUGCUGGCCCUAGUUUGGUCUUUCGGAACAUGAUGCAGAGUGAAUACAUUAGAUGGAGGAGUUGGUGACGCAACCGGAGGAAUCAACACUUGAGGUUGACCAGUCGGUCCCGGGGCCAGAGGAUUCAGCACCAAAGGUGGAGCAGUCGAUGGAGGGAUGACAGGAUCAACACUGGCUUGAGAGGAAAUACCUGGUUCCUGAGACAUAGCAGCAGGCGGCGCACGGGGUGUUUGGCUUGACGACACUCUCCGAGUGAAGUUUCGGAGAGCGGUCGAGGUCGUACCUUUUCCACCCGAGUCCUUCUGAGGCUCCUCUUUGUCGUCAUCAGCAACAUGGAUGAUAUAUGUUGGCUCUACUGUCACUCAACAACAAUAACAACUCAUUCAAUUGUCGAAUCAACCAAUGAAACAGAGCAGAGUGAAAACCUGCCAUACCUCGCUGAGAAUUGGCCGCGUCUGCAGUGUCCAUAUCCACAUGGUCCUCAUCAAUCCUCAUGGGCGACGUUAUCGAAGUGGCAACUCUGGCACACAAUUCUCACUCGGUCAGCAAAGGCAUGAUGUUCUGCAGGAAUAUGAAGGGAAGAAAAAACACUCGUGUCGAAGCGAUAGGCACGACAACAUUUAUUCUGGGCAGAGCCUUCCGGGGUUUCGAUGGAGCGUCCUUGGGAUGUUUCACAGUCUUCUCAGUCAAAUCUGGUGUAGCAGUCCGAGUGCGCUUCGGGUUCCUGACAUUUGACACCAUAGCCUUACUCUGGUUGGCCGUCGGAUCUUGGGUCAGUUUGGAUCGAUGCUCGGUGCACGGAGGAGACUCGAGUCCCUCACUUUCUUCUGAGUCAUCACUAUUGCCCUCACUGUCUUCAUGAUAACUGAUAUUAGCACUCCACCCUCGCUGUCCGCUCCUUCGAUGAGUUGUUCUCUGUUCGGCACGGGGGAAAACAUCUUCGUGAACUCUUGUGAAGCCCAAAUAUCAAAGCAAGUCGGUUACCAACCCAUUCGCAUGUUGGAAACAAAAGGUAAAACACUCGACAAGAUAUGUCUCACCUCCCCUGGUUGGUGCUCAGCGUCGAAAGGCUAAAUCCGCUUGGACCUACGUGGAUUGUCACGAGCUCCGGUGAUGCUUCUAAGCCAUUGCAUCACAAUCUCGUCCUUGACCUCCUCUGAAUGCGUCCGAGUGGGAUCGUCUGAACCCGUGUACACACAUGGGAUGGCUCCGUGCCCGUAGGGGCUGGAUCCAUCGACUAAGGAAUACCUCCAACAGAUCCAAGCCGGUCACUCCAACUCGGAUCAGCUCGAUGAUACGUCUCCAAUGUAUCUAUAAUUUUUAAUUGUUUCAUGCUAUUAUAUUAUCAUUCUUGGAUGUUUUACAACCAUUUUAUAAUCAUUUUAUAUCAUUUUUUGGUACUAACCUAUUGACAUACUGCCUAGUGCCAGUUGCUAUUUUCUGCUUGUUUUUUACAUCGCAGCAAAACUUUUUGUGGAUUUUUCUGGACCAGAAGAAACAAGAUUGGCCAAAGAAGUACCAGAGGGGUGCCCCAAUGGGGUAACAAUGCACCAGGGUGCGCCUGGGGGCCUAGGCGCGCCCAGGUGGGUUAUGCCCACCUCGAUGGCCUUCCGCAUUGCCUCUUUGCUCUAUAAAUACCCCAAUAUUCCAGAAACCCUAGGGGAGUCAACGAAAAUCAAUUCUAGCCACCGCAAGUUCCAGAACCACUAGAUCCAAUUUAACACCAUCACGGAGGGGUUCAUCAUCCUCAUUGGUGCCUCUCUGAUGAUGCGUGAGUAGUUCAUUGUAGACCUACGGGUCUGAUACGUCUCCAACGAAUCUAUAAUUUUUGAUUGUUCCAUGCUAUUAUAUUACCGGUUUUGGAUGUUUAUGGGCUUUAUUUUACACAUUUAUAUCAUUUUUGGGACUAACCUACUAACCGGAGGCCCAGCCAGUAUUGCUGUUUUUUUGCCUAUUUCAGUAUUUCGAAGAAAAGGAAUAUCAAACGGAGUCCAAAUGGAAUGAAACCUUCGGGAGCGUGAUUUUGGAACGAACGUGAUCCAGAGGACUUGGAGGUCAAGUCAAGAAGCAAACUUAGGCGGCCAGGAGAUAGGAGGGCGCGCGCACCCCUCCUGGGUGCGCCCCUGUCUCCUGGGCCCCUCGAGCGGCCACCGACAUAAUUCUUCUUCCUAUAUAAACCUACGUACCCUGAAAACAUCCAGGGAGCCACCGAAGAAAUAUUUACGCCACUGUAACCUUCUGUAUCCGCGAGAUCCCAUCUUGGAGCCGUCGCCGAUGUUCUGCCGGAGGGGGAAUCCACCACGGAGGGCUUCUACAUCAACAACAUAGCCCUUCCGAUGAGUUGUGAGUAGUUUACCACAGACCUUCAGGUCCAUAGUUAUUAGCUAGAUGGCUUCUUCUCUCUUUUUGGAUCUCAAUACAAUGUUCUCCCCCUCUCUUGUGGAGAUCUAUUCGAUGUAAAUUCUUUUUGCGGUGUGUUUGUCGAGAUCCGAUGAAUUGUGGGUUUAUGAUCAAGUUUAUCUAUGAGAAAUAUCUGAAUCUUCUCUGAAUUCUUUUAUGUAUGAUUGAGUUAUCUUUGCAAGUCUCUUCGAAUUAUCGAUUUGGUUUGGCCUAUUAGAUUGAUCUUUCUUGCCAUGGGAGAAGUGCUUAGCUUUGGGUUCAAUCUUGCGGUGUCCUUACCUAGUGACAUAAAGGGUUGCAAGGCACGUAUUGUAUUGUUUCCAAGGAUAAAAAAUGGGGUUUAUAUCAUAUUGCUUGAGUUUAUCCCUCUACAUCAUGUUAUCUUUCUUAAUGCGUUACUCUAUUCUUAUGAACUUAAUACUCUAGAUGCAUGCUGGAUAGCGGUCCUUGUGUUGAGUAAUAGUAGUAGAUGCAGGCAGGAGUCGGUCUACUUGUCACGGACGUGAUGCCUAUAUACAUGAUCAUGCCUAGAUAAUCUCAUAAUUAUUCGCUUUUCUAUCAAUUGCUCGACAGUAAUUUGUUCACCCGUCGUAAUACUUAUGCUAUCUUGAGAGAAGCCUCUAGUGAAACCUAUGGCCCCCGGGUCUAUCUUUUAUCAUAUAAGAUUUCAAUUUACUUUUAUUUGCAUCUUUACUUUUUGCAUCUAUAUUAUAAAAUACCAAAAACAUAUUUAUCUUAUCAAAUUAUCUCUACCAGAUCUCACUUUCGCAAGUGGCCGUGAAGGGAUUGACAACCCCUUUAUCGUGUUGGUUGCGAGUUCUUUGUUUGUUUGUGUAGGUUCAUGGGACUUGUGAGGAGCCUCCUACUGGAUUGAUACCUUGGUUCUCAAAAACUGAGGGAAAUACUUACGAUACUGUGCUGCAUCACCCUUUCCUCUUCAAGGAAAACCAACGCAAGUUCAAGACGUUGAAAGAAGGAUUUCUGGCGCUGUUGCCGAGGAAGUCUUCGCUAAGGUCAAGACAUACCAAGUACCCAUCACAAACUCAUCUCCCUCGCAUUUACAUUAUUUGCCAUUUGCCCCUCGUUUUCCUCUCCCCCACUUCACCUUUGCCGUUUUAUUUGCCCUCUAUUUCCCAAUCUCUCUCUCUUUUUUCGCUUGCCUUUUUCUGUUUGCUUGUGUGUUGGAUUACUUGUUGACAUGGCGCAAGAUAAUACCAAAUUGUCUGAUUUCUCCAAUACCAAUAAUAAUGAUUUCCUUAGUACUCCGAUUGCUCCUCUUAAUGAUGUUGAGUCUUGUGAAAUCAAUGUUGCUUUGCUGAAUCUUGUUAUGAAAGAUCAAUUCUCCGGCCUUCCUAGUGAAGAUGCCACUACCCAUCUAAACAACUUUGUUGAGUUGUGUGAGAUGCAAAAGAAAAAAGAUAUGGAUAAUGAUAUUGUUAAAUUGAAGUUAUUUCUGUUUUCACUUAGAGAUCGUGCUAAAGUUUGGUUUUCGUCUUUGCCUAAAAAUAGUAUUGAUUCUUGGAACAAGUGCAAAGAUGCUUUUAUCUCUAAGUAUUUUCCUCCCGCUAAGAUCAUCUCGCUUAGGAACGAUAUUAUGAAUUUUAAACAACUUGAUCAUGAGCAUGUUGCCCAAUCUUGGGAAAGAAUGAAAUUAAUGAUUCGCAAUUGCCCUACUCAUGGUUUGAAUUUAUGGAUGCUCAUACAAAAAAUUUAUGUCGGUUUGAACUUUGCUUCUAGAAAUCUUUUAGAUUCGGCCGCCAGAGGCACGUUUAUGGAAAUCACUUUAGGAGAUGCUACAAAACUUCUUGAUAAUAUUAUGGCUAAUUAUUCUCAAUGGCACACCGAACGAUCUACUAGUAAAAAAGUGCAUGCUAUAGAAGAAAUUAAUGUUUUGAGUGGAAAGAUGGAUGAGCUUAUGAGAUUGUUUGCUACUAAGAGUGCUUCUAUUGAUCCCAAUGAUAUGCCUUUAUCUACCUGGAUUAAGAAUAAUAAUGAAUCUAUGGAUGUAAAUUUUAUUGGUAGAAAUAAUUUUGGAAACAAUGCUUAUAGAGGAAACUUUAAUUCUAGACCGUUCCCUAGCAAUUCCUCUAAUAAUUAUGGAAAUUCCUACAAUAAUUCUUACACCUCGUUUGGAUGUAGACAUUGGAGUCUGGAUUUCAUAAUUGGCAUCGGGCUGGCCCGAAUGCCACCGUUUGGAUGGCUCAGAUAUUCAGGUGUGGAAUUCGGUCGCAAUAUCGAACAGUUUUCGCCAACACACGCACGGACCUCCGUGAAUACACAGUGCUUGGGCUCCGUAUUCCCUGGAAUCGCCUCGCUACUCCUUCGCUGGACUCGUCAUCUGCUUCACUAGUGCAUGCACCUGCCCAUUAGGAGAUCGAGGCCGGACCGCCCGGUCGCCGCUGACCGGCGGCUUCUCUGCAAAGACCCUAGCGGCUGCCUCCACCGUCCAGGACGCCAGCUUCUCGCUAGUGCAUUGUCCCUAGCCUGGGAGCUUUUGCCUCAGAUGGGGGCGAGAGCAAGCAAGGGCCGGCAUUCUUGGAUGCAAUCGGCAGCGGCGGCGAGUCUGUCUGGACAUGAGCGGCGGCGGCGAGUCCGACACUGAAGCUCCGAUUUGCCGGCAGCGCGGUCGUUGCAGCUACGCGUACUUGGCUGUGUUCGUUCGAUUUCCGGUAGUGUGCGCCUGCUCGGUGUGCAUCUGAUUUACCGCAUUGCACGUGUUGCUGCUUUGCAUGCACGCGUCUGAUUUCCGGCCAUGCUCCACGCUGCUCCGUGCGCGUUGCUGCGUGCCUUGCUAGUUCUAGUAUAUGUGUGCUCUGCGCUAGUUUCUAUGUGUGUGCUCUGCCCUGCUCUGUGUGUGUACGAUGUGCAAUUCAAUACUUUCAUGGAUUCCAAGUGCUGAAUACAUGCACAUCCAAACACUAAAAUUGAUAUUGAACCUCAAUGUCAAUGUCAUGGAUAUUUGGCAUUGGAGCCAAUAAAAUGCCAAGCUCUUCAAUGUCUACAUCCAAAUGGAGCGUUAUGGUAAUUUUAAUAAGAUGCCCUCUGAUUUUGAGAAUAGCGUAAAAGAAUUUAUGAUCUCUCAAAAGAAUUUUAAUGCCUUGCUUGAAGAAAAAUUGCUCAAAGUUGAUGAUUUGGCUAGGAACGUUGAUAGACUUUCGCUCGAUGUUGAUUCUUUGAAACUUAGAUCUACUCGUCCUAAGCAUGAUAUCAAUGAGUCUCUCAAAGCUAUGAGAAGUUCCAUUGACGAGUGCAAAGAAAGAACCGCUAGAUUGCGUGCUAAGAAAUAUUACUUUGUUAAAGCGUGUUCUUCUAGUUUCCAUGAAAAUAAUGAUGAAGAUCUUAAGGUUAUUGACGCAUUCCCUAUUAGAUCCUUCUUUUUCAAUAUGAAUCUUGAUGAUAAUGGUACUGGAAGUGAAUCAACUUUUGUUAAAAAGCGUUCCGAUAAUUUGGAGUUUUUAGAUCUUGAUGCUAAAUUUGGUAAAAGUGCAAUUGCAGAGGUCAAAACUUUAAAUAGUAUUGAACCCACUAUCUCGGAUUUCAAGGAAUUUGAUGAUGAUAAUUGUUCUUUAUAAUGUUGUAUUUCCUUCUUAGAAUCCGUUGUGAAUUCUCCUCAUGCUUAUAGUCAAACUAAAGCCUUUACCAAACAUAUUGUUGAUGCCUUGAUGCAAUCUUUUGAUGAAAAACUUGAUUUGGAAGUUUCUAUACCUAGAAAACUUAAUGAUGAGUGGGAACCUACUAUAAAGAUUAAAAUUAAAGAUUAUGAGUGUUGUGCUUUGUGUGAUUUGGGUGCUAGUGUUUCCACGAUUCCGAAAACUUUAUGUGAUAUUCUAGGUUUCCAUGAUCUUGAUGAUUGCUCUUUAAAUUUGCACCUUGCGGAUUCCACCAUUAAAAAGCCAAUGGGAAGGAUCAAUGAUGUUCUCAUUGUUGCAAAUAGAAAUUUGGUGCCCGUAGAUUUUAUCGUUCUUGAUAUAGAUUGCAAUUUUUCUUGCCCUAUUAUUCUUGGUAGACCUUUCCUUAGAACGAUUGGUGCGAUUAUUGAUAUGAAGGAAGGGAAUAUUAGAUUCCAAUUUCCGUUAAAAAAAGUCAUGGAGCACUUUCCAAGAAAGAAAGUCAAAUUACCUUAUGAAUAUAUCAUGCGAGCUACCGAUGAAUCAAGUGCCAAAGAUGGCACUACUUAGAUCUAUCCUUACUUUUAUGCCUAGCUAGGGGCGUUAAACGAUAGCGCUAGUUCGGAGGCAACCCAAUUUUCUUUGUGUUCUUUGUUUUUGUUACUGUUUAGUAAUAAGUUUUUCAUCUAAUUUAUGUUUAGAUGUGUUUUCUUGUUUUAAUUAGUGUUUGUGCCAAGUAGAACCUAUAGGAUAACCUAUGAUAUGAGUUAAUUUGAUUCUGCUGAAAAACAGAAACUUUGUGCUCACGAGAAAAACUUCAAUAAAUCACAGAAACGUGCUUUUACACUGAUUCUUUUUGCUUCUGAUCAAUAGACAAAUUGUUUAGGACGUCCUAUUUUGGUAGGAUUUUUGGAGUUCCAGAAGUAACCGAAAGUUACAGAUUUCUACAGACUGUUCUGUUUUUGACAGAUUCUGCCUUUCGUGUGUUGUUUGCUUAUUUUGAUGCUUCUAUGGAUAGUAUGUAAGGGUAUGAACCAUAUAGAUCUUGGAAUACAGUAGGUUUAACACAAAUAUAAAUAAAGAAUGAGUUCAUUACAGUACCUUAUGUGGUGGUUUUUCUUUCUUGCACUAAUGGAGCUUAUGAGAUUUCCUGUUGAGUUUUGUGUUGUGAAGUUUUCAAGUUUUGGGUAAAGAUUUGAUGGACUGUGGAAUAAAGAGUGCCAAAAGCCUAAGCUUGGGGAUUCCCAAGGCACCCCAAGAUAUUCAAGAAUAGACAAAAGCCUAAACCUUGGGGAUGCCCCCGGAAGGCAUCCCCUCUUUCGUCUUUGUUCAUUGGUAACUUUACUUGGAGCUAUAUUUUUAUUCGCCACAUGUUAUGUGUUUUGCUUGGAGCGUUGUGUAUUAUAUUAGUCUUUGCUUUUUAGUUUACCACAAUCACCCUUGUUGUACACACCUUUUGGGAGAGUCCCACUUGAUUAGAAUUUAUUAGAAUAUGCUAUGUGCUUCACUUAUAUCUUUUGAGCUACAUAGUUUUUGCUCUAGUACUUCACUUAUAUCUUUUAGAGCACGGUGGUGGAUUAAUUUUGAGGAAAUUGCUAGUAUCUCAUGCUUCACUUAUAUUAUUUUGAGAGUCUCUUAGAACAGCAUGGUAUUUCCUAUGGUUAUGAAUUUGGUCCUAGAAUGAUGAGCAUCCAAGUUGGGUAUAAUAAAAACUAUCAUAGAAAGUGCAUUAAACACUAGGAUCAAUUUGAUGCUUGAUAAUUGUUUUGAGAUAUAAAGUUAGUAAUGUUAGAGUCAUGAUAGUGAAUAAUUAUGAAAUUGAUAAAUACUUGUGUUGAAGUUGGCAAGUCCCGUAGCAUGCACGUAUGGUAAAAGUUGUGUGACAAAUUUGUUGCAUGAGGUGCUCUUUUGAUUGUCUUCCUUAUGAGUGGCAGUCGGGGACGAGCGAUGGUAUUUUCCUACCAAUCUAUCCCUCUAGGGGCAUGCAUAGUAGUACUUUGCUUCAAGGGCUAAGUAGACUUUUGCAAUAAGUAUGAGUUCUUUAUGACUAAUGUGAGUCCAUGGAUAUACACACACUCAUCCUUCCACUUUGCUAGCCUCUAUUUUACCGCGCAACUUUCGCUGGUAGCAUGCACCCAUUAUUCACAUCACUCAAAACAGCCACCAUACCUACCUAUUAUGGCAUUUCCAUAGCCAUUCUGAGAUAUAUUGCCAUGCAACUUUCCACCGUUCCGUUUAUUAUGACACGCUCCAUCAUUGUCAUAUUGCUCUUUGCAUGAUCAUGUAGUUGACAUCGUAUUUGUGGCAAAGCCACCUUCAUAAUUUUCAUACAUGUCGCUCUUAAUUCAUUGCAUAUCCCGGUACACCGCCGGAGGCAUUCAUAUAGAGUCAUAUCUUGUUCUAGCUUUGAGUUGUAAUUCUUGAGUUGUAAAUCAAUAAAAGUGUGAUGAUCUUCAUAAUUAGAGCAUUGUCCCAGUGAGGAAAGCGUGAUGAAGACUAUGAUUCCCCCACAAAUCGGGAUGAGACUUCGGACUUUAUAGAAAUAAAAGAGGCCAAAGAAGCCCACCAAAAAGAAAAAAAAAGAAAAAAAAGAAACGAAAAAAAAAGAAAAAAAAGGGAAGAAAAAGAAAAAAAAUAAAAUGAGAGAAAAAGAGAGAAGGGACAAUUGCUACUAUCUCUUUUCCACACUUGUGCUUCAAAAUAGCACCAUGAUCUUCAUGAUAGAGAGUCUCCUAUGUUGUCACUUUCAUAUACUAGUGGGAAUUUUUCAUUAUAGAACUUGGCUUGUAUAUUCCAAUGAUGGGCUUCUUCAAAAUGCCCUAGGUCUUCGUGAGCAAGCAAGUGGGAUGCACACCCACUUAGUUUCUUUUGUUGAGCUUUCAUACAUUUAUAGCUCUAGUGCAUCCGUUGCAUGGCAAUCCCUACUCACUCACAUUGAUAUCUAUUAAUGGGCAUCUCCAUAGCCCGUUGAUACGCCUAGUUGAUGUGAGACUAUCUUCUCCCUUUUGUACUUACAACCACCACCAUAUACCACCAUAGUGCUAUGUCCAUGGCUUGCGCUCAUGUAUUGCUUAAGAGUUGAAAAAAGCUGAAGCGUAUUAAAAAGUAUGAACCAAUUGCUCGGCUCAUCAUCGGGGUUGUACAUGAUGAGAGUAUUUUGUGUAAUGAAAAUGAAGCAUGGCCUAACUAUAUGAUUUUGUAGGAAUAAGCUUUCUUUGGCUAUGCUAUUCUGAUAGGACAUGAUUAUUUGUUAGUAUGCUUCGAAGUAUUAUUAUUUUUAUGUUUUAUAAGAUUUUAUCUUGAAUCAUUUGGAUCUGAACAUUCAUGCCACAAUAAAGAAAAUUACAUUGAGAAUUAUGCUAGGUAGCAUUCCACAUCAAAAAUUCUAUUUUUAUCAUUUACCUACUCGAGGACGAGCAGGAAUUACGCUUGGGGAUGCUUGAUACGUCUCCAACGUAUCUAUAAUUUUUUAUUGUUCCAUGCUAUAAUAUUACCUGUUUUGGUUGUUUAUGGGCUUUAUUUUACACAUUUAUAUCAUUUUUGGGACUAACCUACUAACCUGAGGCCCAGCCCGUAUUGCUGUUUUUUUGCCUAUUUCAGUAUUUCGAAGAAAAGGAAUAUCAGACGGAGUCCAAAUGGAAUGAAACCUUCGGGAGCAUGAUUUUUGGAACAAACGUGAUCCGGAGGACUUGGAGGGAAAGUCAAGAAGCAAUCGAGGCGGCCAGGAGAUAGGAGGGCACGCCCACCCCUCCUGGGCGCGCCCCCUGUCUCCUGGGCCCCUCGAGCAGCCACCGAUGUACUUCUUCUUCCUAUAUAAACCUACGUACCCCGAAAACAUCUAGGGAGCCACCGAAGAAAUAUUUCCGCCACCGUAACGUUCUGUAUCCGCGAGAUCCCAUCUUGGAGCCGUCGCCGGCGUUCUGCCGGAGGGGGAAUCCACCACAGAGGGCUUCUACAUCAACACCAUAGCCCUUCCGAUGAGUUGUGAGUAGUUUACCACAGACCUUCGGGUCCAUAGUUAUUAGCUAGAUGACUUCUUCUCUCUUUUUGGAUCUCAAUACAAUGUUCUCCCCCUCUCUUGUGGAGAUCUAUUCGAUGUAAACUCUUUUUGCGGUGUGUUUGUCGAGAUCCGAUGAAUUGUGGGUUUAUGAUCAAGUUUAUCUAUGAGAAAUAUCUGAAUCUUAUCUGAAUUCUUUUAUGUAUGAUUGAGUUAUCUUUGCAAGUCUCUUCGAACUAUCGAUUUGGUUUGGCCUAUUAGAUUGAUCUUUCUUGCCAUGGGAGAAGUGCUUAGCUUUGGGUUCAAUCUUGUGGUGUCCUUACCCAGUGACAGAAAGGGUUGCAAGGCACGUAUUGUAUUGUUGCCAUCGAGGAUAAAAAGAUGGGGUUUAUAUCAUAUUGCUUGCGUUUAUCCCUCUACAUCAUGUUAUCUUUCUUAAUGCGUUACUCUGUUCUUAUGAACUUAAUACUCUAGAUGCAUGCUGGAUAGUGGUCGAUGUGUGGAGUAAUAGUAGUAGAUGCAGGCAGGAGUCGGUCUACUUGUCACGGACGUGAUGCCUAUAUACAUGAUCAUGCCUAGAUAAUCUCAUAAUUAUUCGCUUUUCUAUCAAUUGCUCGACAGUAAUUUGUUCACCCACCGUAAUACUUAUGCUAUCUUGAGAGAAGCCUCUAGUGAAACCUAUGACCCCCGGGUCUAUCUUUUAUCUUAUAAGCUUUCAAUCUACUUUUAUUUGCAUCUUUACUUUUUGCAUAUGUGUUAUGAAAUACCAAAAACAUAUUUAUCUUAUCAUAUUAUCUCUAUCAGAUCUCACUUUCGCAAGUGGCCGUGAAGGGAUUGACAAUCCCUUUAUCGCGUUGGUUGUGAGUUGUUUGUUUGUUUGUGUAGGUUCGUGGGACUUGUGAGGAGCCUCCUACUGGAUUGAUACCUUGGUUCUCAAAAACUGAGGGAGAUACUUACGCUACUGUGCUCCAUCACCCUUUCCUCUUCAAGGAAAACCAACGCAAGCUCAAGACGUAGCAGGGUCCAUAGUUAGUAGUUAGAUGGCUUCCUCUAUCUCUCUCUCUCUAUCUAUCUAUCUCUCUCUCCCUUGAUUCUCAAUACAAUGGUCUCUUUGGAGAUCCAUAUGAUGUAACUCUUUUUGCGGUGUGUUUGUUGGGAUCCAAUGAACUUUGAGUUUAUGAUAAUAUCUACGUUUUUAUCCAUGAAAGUUAUUUGAGUCUUCUUUGAUCUCUUAUAUGCAUGACUGCUUAUAGCCUCGUAUUUCUUCUCUGAUAUUUGGAUUUUGUUUGGCCAACUUGAUCUAUUUAUCUUGCAAUGGAAGAGGUGCUUUGUGAUUGGUUCGAUCUUAUGGUGCUUGAUCCCAGUGACAGAAGGGGACCCGACGCUAUUAAGGAUAACAAGAUGGGGUCUAUUUCUACAUAAAUAGAUCUUGUCUACAUCAUGUGAUCAUUCUUAUUGCAUUACUCCAUUUUUCCAUGAACUUAAUACACUAGAUGCAUGCUGGAUAACGGUCGAUGUGUCGAGUAAUAGUAGUAGAUGCAAGCAGGAGUCUGUCUACUAAUCUUGGACGUGAUGCCUAUAUAAUGAUCAUUGCUUGGAUAUUGUCAUUAUUAUUUGAAGUUCUAUCAAAUAUCCAACAGUAAUUUGUUUAUCCACCGUUUGCUAUUUUUCUCGACGGAAGCCACUAGUGAAACCUACGCCCCCCUGGGUCUCUUCUUUAUUAUAUUUGCCUUCGAGAUCUAUUUUCAUUUGCUUUUAUUUUCUGAUCUAUUAAUCCAAAAAUACAAAAAUACCUUGCUGCAAUUUUUAGUAAUUUAUUUUACCUCGCGUUCCCGCGAGAUCUAUUUAUCCAAUGUACUAUAGUUUUAUCUAUCUUUUUACCUCCGAGGGAUUGACAACCCCUCUCUUACGUCGGCUUGCAAGUAUUUGUUCUUUGUGUACAGGAGCUAUUUACGUGGUGUUGGGUGGUUCUCCUAUUGGUUUGAUAACCUUUUUUUUUAGAAUCUCAAGUAGCAAAGCUACUCGGAGGGCCUAUUACAUUCAGACAUCAUCAAAGAUCGGAGGCUAUCAGGCACAUCUGCAUUUAACAUUUGAUCUCCAUCACUCCUGUUUAGUGCAGCUAAUCCAUGUGCCAGUGCAUUCUUGCAGCGCAUCACGUAGCCGAUCUUGCAUGCAGGGAAAGUGCCCAUGGCCUGCUUGAUGUCCAUGAUUAGGCCAUAGCAGGCAGACCGCGUGGGGUACUGCGACUCCACCUCUUUCACAAUCAACUGGUUAUCCAUCUCCAGUACCACUUGGCCGGUGUGCACCCUAGUCAGUUCCUGCAGACCGAUCAGGGCCGCUCUUGCCUCAGCCUCUUCCACGUUGUUGCUGUGCGGCAGUUUUCUGCAUACAGAAAAAACGGCAUUGCCCUAGUGGUCUCUUGCGACUGCUCCUGCGGCGCCCCCUCCUGUCUCAGCCACAAAGGACGCGUCUGUAUUUAGUUUGACUGUACCUCGGAGAGGGGGGGUCCAAAGCAUGUCUGACGGGGAGGCGAGACUCGGCUCAGGGGCAGGCCUGCCAGUGGUAGUUUUUCCGUCCAAUAGGACAGCAGCAGUGUAUCCAGCCAUUCUGAACUCCUCCUCAUACUGCUCAAGAAACUGCACAGAAGACCUAAUUGUCUGUCUUCCAUCAUUGCGUAUACAGUCUUCGCGGAGGUGCCAACAACGCCAGAAAAGCAGCAGGAUUUUUGCCCGGGUGUCCUCAUUCUCUGAAUCCAGUAGCACCUGCAGCCAGUUAUCUCCCGUGUACCGAAAUUUCCUCUCCGGCGGCAGAUACCAAACCUCGCGCAUUGCCGAUCUCAGCCCUCUGCUUUUCGUGCACGUGACGACUGCAUGGUACUCGUUUUCAUCACCUUGGCCACAGAUACAACAGGUUGCAUCCGUUUCCAGUGUUCGUUUAAACUUAUUUUCCUUAGUGGCUAGAGUUUUAGUCGCCACUCUCCAUCCGAAUAUCUCAACUUUUCCGGCCACAUUUGAUUUCCAUAUUAAGUCCCACAUGCUGCGAUCAUUGGCUCCCCUUGCUGAGCUGGACGGGGCAUGGCCUGAUUGGGCAAGAUUUGCAGCCAGCUUGUAAGCACUCUUAACAGAGAAGAUGCCAUUGUUUUCAUAGUGCCACACAAGGCGGUCUUCUGCAUCAGAGUUUGGGAUAGGGAUCUUGCAGAUCACAUCUGCAUCAAAAGGGUAGAAGAUUUGUCGUAUUAGGUCUUCAUUCCACUCUUUCCUGUCCGGGAGCAUGAGCUGAUUCACCCAACGAAGCCUAGACCUCCGGAUGAAUGCCGCUGUCAUGAGGCCUUCCCUCCUUGGUAGCCAUUGGUCGCGCUGGAUUUGGAUGUUUUUCCCGUCACCCACUCUCCAUAUUAUCCCCUUUUUCAGAAGCUGCAGUCCAAACUCGAUGCCUCUCCAAACAGGCGAUGCAUCCGAUGCAAAGACAGUGUCUAGGAUAUUUCCGUUGGGGUAAUACUUAGACUUGAGCACCCUUGCACAUAGGCUCUCCAGGUUUUGGAUUAAUCUCCAGCCUUGUUUAGCAAGAAGAGCCUGGUUGAAGAGGUGCAUGUCUCUAAAUCCAAUGCCGCCCGCUCUCUUAGGUUUUAUCAUGCGAUCCCAAGACAUCCAAUGAACCUUCCUAUGUUCCUCUUCAUCCCCCCACCAAAAAUCUCUAAUCAUCCUUUCGUACUUCUCGCAGAAGCCUUUGGAUAGCAUGAAAACACUCAUGACGAAGGUUGGGAGCCCCUGGACCACUGACUUGACGUGAACCUCUUUUGCCGCAUAGGACAUAAAUUUUUCCGACCAAUCAUUGCAUCUCUUUCCAAACCUAUCCAAAAUCGGUUGGAACUGAUCAUCCUUCAUUCUCCCCUCCGGGGUUGGUAAUCCAAGGUACUUGCUUUCAAAAGUGUCUACUUGCACCCCAAGAAUACCUUUUAUACCCUCUCUUGUCACAGCCGGGCAUGCUUCACUGAAAAGAAGAGAGCAUUUGCUCUCACUUAGGAGUUGGCCCGUGCACUCCUGGAAGAUGGCAAGGACUUUUUUAACGGUCUCUGCUUGCUCUGUCGUGGCCUUGAAGAAAAUCAGGCUAUCAUCUACAAAGAGGAGGUUUGAAAUGCCCAGACUAUUCCUUGCAAUCUUUAUGGGUGUCAAGUUUUUCUCCACUAUCUCCUUCUUCAGUAGGUGUACUGGGCCGUCCGCCACGAAUAAGAACAAAUAUGGGCUCAGAGGGUCUCCUUGCUGUAGGCCUCGUGAUGGGACAAACGGGUCAAGCAGGUGCCCAUUUAACCGCACCGAGUAUCGUACAGACCGGAUGCACUGCAUCACCCAGUCUGUCCAUUUCCUACAAAAACCAAAUUUUCGGAGCACACCCUCUAGAAAAUCCCAGUCCACUCUGUCAUAAGCCUUGGCUAGGUCCACCUUGUACGCGCAGAAAUUGUCUCUGAUAUUCUUACUGUGUUGGAUUUUGUGGAAGCAUUCGAACGCAAUAAUGGCGUUGUCCGUGAUCAUUCUACCCGGAAUGAAGGCACUUUGUGUCUCAGAAAUGAUUUCAUCCAGCAUGGGCCGUAACCGGUUGACGAGGCACUUUGAUAUCACUUUAUAAAUGACAUUGCAUAAUCCUAUGGGUCUGAAAUCCUUUAGCAACUACGCAUCUUUUCCUUUAGGGAUAAGGACAAUCACUGUGUCGUUGAUUCCUUUCGGUAGGAUCCCAUUUUCAAAGAACUCGAGAACCCCUCUGACAACGUCGCCUUUAAUUUCCCCCCAGUUUCUUUGAAAGAACCGUGCCGGAAAGCCAUCGGGGCCUGGUGCUUUCAAAGGACCAAUUUGGAACAGAGCAUCACUUAUUUCCAACUCUGAGUAAGGUUUAGUCAACAAGUCGUUCAUAUCAUUAUUCACCCGGUUCCCAAUCAGGUCCAGAACAACCUUUGGAUCGACCGAUUUAUCUUUCUCAUAAAGCUUUUUGAAGAAAUAGUUUGUCAUUUCAUGAAUGCCCUUGUCGUCCUCGACCCAUCUUCCUGAUUCAUCUUUUAGUCUUUCAAUGGUAUUUUUCUUUCUUCGCCAAGUUGCCUUCUGUUGGAACCACUUAGUAUUCCUGUCACCCUCUCUCAGAUACGUGGCGCGAGAGCGUUGUCUCCACAUGAGCUCCUCCCUCAACAGCAGUUCAUCCAGCUCCCUAGCCAAAUGGUCAGCUUUGAUUUGUUUCUCAGGGUUGAGUGGAAAGCUCCAGAUCCUAUUUAGUCUCGCCCUAAUCUCUGCUGUUUUUUUAAUGACCGAGCCAAAAUCUCUAGCAGCCCAGCUACGCAGGUCCGUCUGCAUCUGUUUCAAUUUUGAGCACACUUUCUGCAGGUUGUCAGCCGGUCCGUUCUCUCUCCAAGUUGCAGCAAUGGUUGUCUGAAGGCUCUCCACUCUCUCCCACAUCUGCUCGUACCUGAAGGAGGUGCACACAUUUGGUCCCACUGCUCUCCAUUCCUUCCUGCUGCCCACUUUCAACAAUACAGGUAGGUGAUCAGACCUUGACGAACAAAUAUGCUGGACAGUGGCAUGUUUAAAAUAAUCCGACCACUCCGGGGAGGCCACGCAUCUAUCCAAACGCGCUCUAACAUUAGCACUGCCCUGUUGCUUAUUGCUGUAAGUCCACGCCGGUCCUUUAAAACCCAUAUCAAACAUAUUACAGUCAGAUAAAACUUUACGAAAAUUUUCCAUGUUUUUCUCGGAUCUCUUUGAGGAUGAGAAGUGCUCAGAUUGCCACAUGGUUUCAUUAAAGUCUCCCAUCAUCAUCCAGGGAAGGUUACCACUAUCCUUGAUCCUCCUAAGCAGAGUCCACAUAUGAUGUCGCUCGUGUGCUUUUGGUUCCCCGUACACAAAGGUCCCUCUCCAUUGGAGGCCUUGAGGGUUCAAACGGAUCAACACAUCGAUAUAUCUCGCCCCCACGGCAAUCUUCUUUAUUUCCACACUCUCAUCAUAAAAGAGGGCAACGCCAACACCUUUUCCAGUGCUAGGUUGCACGAUACAGUGAUGAAGGCCGAGCCUCCAUUUUAGAUUCCUAACGUAUUUAUUAUUUUGUCGGGUUUCAGAGAGGAAGACGAGCUUGGGCUUGUAGGUGUGCACUAGGCACACGAGUUCCUGAACUGUGCGAGGUUGCCCGAGGCCUCGACAGUUCCAAGCCAAGAUCGUCAUGGCCCCUGGCGGGCGCCAUCCUUAGCGCCCACCAGUGGACCGGGAGCCCCAGGCCCGGUAGCUUCCUUGUCGUCCUUCUUCCCAUCCUCACCCAUGCCUGCAGCACACACUUUCUUGCUCUUGUCCGCUCCAUCAUCUUGGCCUGUAGCCUCUGCAUCCACUGACCCAGCAUUCUCACGGCCACCUCUCUUGCCCAGCACCGAAGUUACCUCACCUGAUUUCUUCUUGUUUAUCUUGCUGUUCCUCACUGCCUUGCUAUUGGUUUGAUAACCUUGGUCUCAUCACUGAGGGAAAUACCUACCGUUGUUGUGCUGCAUCAUCCCUUCCUCUUUGGGGAAAUACCGACGUAGUUCUAGGAGACAUCAAAAGGAAUUUCUGGCGCUGUUGCCGGGGAGACAUCAUCAACAUGAACCAGGUUCCUAAUCACAAAUCUCAUCUGCUUGCAAUUUACAUUAUUUGCCAUUUACCUCUCAUUUUCCUCUCCCCCACUUCACAAAAAUUUGCUGUUUUAUUCGCCCUCUUUUUCGUUCGCCGUUUUCUCGUCAGAUCUGUUUUUGAGUGCAAUCUUGUUGUGUAGUCACCGUGACUCAAGAGAACACCAAGUUGUGGGAUUUCUCAAAUACCAACAGCAAUGAUUUUAUUAGCACCCCGAUUGCUUCUCCUGCCACUAAUGCAGAGUCUUGUGAUAUUAAUACUGCUUUGUUGAAUCUUGUUAUGAAAGAUCAAUUUUUCGGUAGUCCUAAUGAGGAUGCCGCCUCCCAUCUUAACACAUUCGUGGAAUUAUGCGAUAUGAAAAAGAAAAAAGAUGUGGACAAUGAUGUUGUGAAGUUGAAAUUAUUUCCAUUUGUUUUGCGAAAUCACACAAAAAAUUAGUUUUCUUCUUUGCCUCACAAUAGUAUCGAUUCUUGGAAUAAGUGCAAGGAUGCUUUUAUUAGUAAGUAUUUUCCGCCCGCAAAAAUCAUUUCCCUUAGAACCCAGAUCAUGAAUUUCAAGCAGCUUGAACAUGAGCGUGCUGCACAAUCUUGGGAGAGGAUGAAAUUGAUGCUAAGGAAUUGCCCAACUCAUGGGUUAAAUCUUUGGAUGAUCAUACAAAUUUUUUAUGCGGGAUUGAAUUUUGUUUCUCGUAAUCUUUUAGAUUCUGCCACGGGGGUACUUUUAUGGAAAUUACUUUGGGUGAAGCUACUAAAUUACUUGACAAUAUUAUGUCAAAUUAUUCACAAUGGCAUACCGGAAGAGCUCCUACUAGUAAAAAUGUCAAUUCGGUAGAAGAAAUAAAUUCUUUGAGUAAAAAAGUUGAUACUCUUAUGAAGUUGGUUGUUAAUAAAAAUGCUCCUUUUGAUUUUAAUGGUGUUCCUUUGUCUACUUUGAUUGAGCAAAAUAGUGAUGCCAUAGAUGUGAAUUUUAUCUCGCGAAACAAUUUCAAUAGCAAUGCUUAUAGAGGUAAUUUUAAUCCUAGGCCUUUUCCAAUAAUUCCUCUAAUAAUUAUGGUAAUCCUUCUUAUAAUAAUAAUAGGAACACCUCUGAUCUUGAGAAUAAUAUUAAAGAAUUUAUCAAUACUCAAAAAGUUUUCAAUGCUACGAUAGAAGAAAAGGUGAAUAAAGUUGAUGAUAUGUCUAGAAGUAUUGAUAGAAUUUCUCACGAUGUAGAAAUUCUCAAGAUGCAAUUUUUUGUUCCUAAGGUUGAAGAAUCAAUUAAAGAUCUUUAUGUUUCUAUGGAUUAAAGUAAGAAAAAAACCGCUAUGCUUAGAGCUAAAAGAGAAUUUUUAGAAAAAGCGUUUUCUAGUGAUUGCUUUCAUAAAAGUGAUGAAGAUCUUAAAUGAUUGGUGUUUCUUUUAUUGCUUCUUUGUUUAGUAAAAUUAAGAUUGAUGAAAAAUGGACUGGAGAAGAGUCAACUUUAGCUAGAAGGCAUCCUGAUAAUUCGGAGGGUGAAAAUCUUGUUGAGAAAACUGAUAAAAGUGGGUUUGAAGAGAUCAAAACUUUAACUAGUAAUGUAUCCACUCUUUUGUUUCACAAAGACUUUAAUUAUGAUAGUUGCCCUUUGGUGAAUUGUAUUUCUUUGUUGCAAUCCAUGAUAAAUUCACCCCAUGCUUAUGAACAAAACUCUUUUACUAAACAUAUUGUUGAUGCCAUGAUGAAAGAUUUUGAAGAAAAGUUGGAAUUAGAAGUUUCAAUUCCUAGAAAAUUACAUGAUGAAUGGAGUAAAUAGCAUAAAACUACUACUUUACAGGCUAGGGUUCCAAAAAAUUGCCAGUUUUUAAUUUUUCUCAGAUAACUACCAAGUGGGUGGUCGGUUGUUUCAAAAACCGAAAUCCCACGUUGCUAACAUUUUAAGCCGAUUUAUGACAGGUCGGGCCCACUCCUAAACAAUCCGUUAGUUGACCGUUUUGUUUGACCGUUAACUUAUUGUAGGACCCACAUGUAAGAUGUCUCUUCUUCCUCCUACCAUUUCUUCUCUCCUUGUGUCUCUUUCUUUCCCGUCUCCUCCUCCUUGCAAAGGCCCGAGCUCUAGCAUCCACCACUGACUGACGGCCACCCCUACCACGCCCCACGGCCAGGAGCAAGGGCCGGCCGCCGCGAGCCGGCCCCAGGAGCAAACGCUGCUGCAAGCCACCGCACCCAGGGGCAUGGGCCGCCGCGCCCAGGAGCACAGGCUGCCGCGAGCCACGCGCCGUGCCCAGGAGAAGCGGAAGCGGCCGGCAAGGAACUCCGCCUAGGCCCAGCCCGUCAGCCGCCUGGAGAAGCCCCGCCUUUCGCGCCGAGGAAUGUUGUGGCCGAGCAGCCUCCUUCCGCCUGGCCCGCAACCUGGUCGCCGGCACUAUUCCUGUCGCAACGGAAGGGAGCUCCACACGCUGCCCGCGAUGGAAGGGAGCUCCAUGGUGGUGCCAUGGCUGCUGGCCGGCGACCCUCACGUCGGCUGCUGGCGCAUGGCCACGGGAGGGACCUGAUUGCAUUUUGAAAAUUUUGCAGGGACCUGAUGGCAUUCUUGAAAAGUUUACAGACACUGACAUGUGGGACCCACGUGUCAGUUAACGGUCAAACAAAUGGUCAAAUAGACGGAUCGUUUAGGUGUGGGCCCAACCUUUCAUAAACCUGUUUAACUUUUUAACAACGAAGAUUUUGGGUUUUUUGAAACAGCCGACCACCCACUUGGUAGUUAUCUAAGAAAAAAUAAAAACCGGUAGUAUUUAGGAACCCUAGCCUGUAAAGUAGUAGUUUUAUGCUAUUUACUCUAAUGAAUGGGAACCUACCAUCAAAGUCAAGAUUAAGUAUUAUGAGUGUUUUGCUUUAUGUGACCUGGGUACUAGUGUUUCUAGAAUUCCAAAAUCUUUAUGUGAUGGGCUUGGUCUUACCGAUAUUGAAGAAUGCUCUUUAAAUUUGUAGUUGGCAGACUCUACAAUUAAAAAGCCUAUGGGAAGAAUUAAUGAUGUUAUUAUUCUUGCAAAUUGGAAUUACGUGCCCAUAGAUUUUAUUGUUCUUGAUAUUGAUUGCAAUCCGUCUUGUCUAAUUAUACUCGCUAGACCGUUUUUACGUACUAUUGGUGUCGUGAUUGAUAUGAAAGAAGGCAAUAUUAAAUUUCAAUUUCCACUAAGGAAUGGUAUGGAACACUUCCCUAGAACAAGAAUUAGGCCACCAUAUGAAUCAAUCAUGAGGGCAUCGUAUGGAUCUAGAACUAAAAAUGACAACACUUAGAUCCUUUGCAUUAUGCCUAGCUAGGGGCGUAAAACGAAAGCGCUCGUUGGGAGGCAACCCAACUUGUAUCUUUUUGCUUUUUGGUUUUCUUGCUGUUUUCAAUAAAAUACCCAAUUAUGCCUCUGAUUAGAUGUGUUUUCGUGGUUUAAAUUAGUGUUUGUACCAAGUAGGCCCUUUAGGAUGAUUUGGGUGAGAGUUGAUUUGAUCUUGCUGAAAAACAGAAACUUUUGCGCUCACAAAAAUAAUUCCCAUUUUUAAUAGAAGAGUGCUUUUGAGUUGGUUCUUUUUGCAGAAGAUUAAUAUACAACCAUGUUUUCCUACUUUUCAGAAUUUUUGGAGUUACAGAAGUACUCGAAAUAUCCAGAGUUCUACAAACUGUUAUGUUUUUGACAGAUUAUGUUUUCUUUGCAUUGUGUGCUUGUUUUGAUGAUUCUAUGGUUUUCUUUGAAGAGUGUUUUCCAUACAAAAGUUGGAAUACAGUAGAUAAAAUGCAAAAAUAAAAUAUGAAUGGGUUUGCAACAAUACUUGUAGUAGUGGUUUUCUUUCUUGUACUAACGGAUCUCACGAAGGUUUUGUAGAGUUUUGUGUGAUUGAAGUUUUCAAGUUUUGGGUGAUAUUAUGAUGGAUGAAGGAAUAAGGAUUAGCAAAAGGCUAAGCUUGGGGAUGCCCGAGGCACCCCAAGAUAAUAUUCAAGAAGUAUCAAGCAAGUAAGCUUGGGGAUGCCCCCGUGUGGCAUCCCCUCUUUCUUCUAACGAUCAUCGGUAUUUUACUUGGAGCUAUAUUUUUAUUCGUCACAUAUUAUGAAUUUUGCUUGGAGCGUCUUGUAUGAUAUGAGUCUUUCCAUGUUUUGCUUUUUAUUUUAAGUCUUGAAUCCUUGCUGGACACACCUUUUUGAGAGAGCUAAAAAUUAUGCUAUGCUUGCUCCUAUGCUUCACUUAAAUUUUUAGAGCCAUGGAAUGGCUCUAGUGCUUCACUUAUAUCUUUUUGAUCACGGUUUGCUUUGUUAUUUUUUAAGAAAUGCUCUCAUGCUUCACUUAGAUUUAUUUGGAGUUAGUAAUUUUUUUAAGAAAUUCACUCUUGCUUCACUUAAGUUAUUUUGAGAGAAAGAAAUAUUAUGCUCAUGUUCUUCACUUGCAUUUGUUUGAGCUUAUUAAAAGCAACAUAUGAAACUAGUCCCAAAGUGAUAGAUAUCCAAGGAGGAUAUAAUAAAAACAUUCAUGAAGAUCAUUGGACAAAAUAAACUUGGUUCUUUGUAAUGGCUUUGAGAUAUGACGAUAUGAUAUGUGAGUCAUGUUGAUGAGUAAUUAUACUUUAGUAAGUAUAGUGGUGUUAAGGUUUAUGAUUUCCUAUGCAAGCACGAAAGUCAAUAGUUAUGCAAUGAAAUUACAUCCUACUUGUGGUGCAUUAUUCGGUGUUAAUUAUGCUUAAUGCUCGCUUAUGAGAUUUUUCGUUUCUUGGUUGGACGCUUCUCAAUCUUUUUGCUGGCCUUCAUUUGCACUAAGUAUGAUCACUACUUGUGCAUCCAAAACCCUUUAAACCAGUUUUGCCAUAUGAGUCCACUAUACCUACGUAUAUGCGGUAUUUCCGUGCCGUUCUAAGCAAAUUUGUAUGUGCCAUGUCUAAUUUUCAAAAUAAAUUUCUCUUUUGUGUGCUCGUACCGCUCGGGGCGGUGAGGGGUGGCCGAUAUUUCCAUGGUAGAUGUGUUAUUCUCAUGAUGAGUGUUUAUUCACUUGUCAUUGCACGAGAGUACGACAAAGGUAUUAGGGAUGCAUAGUCCCGAAAUGAAAAAUGAAUUUACUUUAUGUUGUCAAAUAAUAAAUUCCUAGGAAAGUGUUCGUAUGGAGGGCACCCGUGGAUACGGUUAGCCAUGGAAAGUGAAAGUAUGAUGGAGAAAGGAAUAAACUUUAUUUUUUGUUUGGGAGCUGCCUAUGAUGUAUCUAGCAUGGAAAGUGUUGGGAGCUCUAAGUCGUUUUCGUUGGUGGGAAAAGUAUGCCUCCCAAAAUGUUUUAUCUCUCAAUUUUUGCUUUAAGCUCUCGCACCUCUAUAAAUAGCUACUUCCCUUCGUGAAGGGCCUUUCUUUUACUUUAUGCAAAUUUUUUUACUUGAGUCUCCAUCUUCUCUUUAUAAAGCACCAACUAAGGGGCCCUAUGAUUGUACUUGAGCAUUGGGUAUAGCUAGUAUUCGAGUGUGUUUCAUGAAUGGGUCAAUGAUUGAGCAUACUAGGCUAGGGAUAACUUGCUUUAGCGUUGAUAUUUUGAAAGACAUGGUUGCUUGUUGAUAUGCUUGAGUAUUAAAGUCUUCAUGUCAAAAGUAGACUAUUGCUUUGAAUCAUAUAAAAGUCUGUUUUUAUCAUUUAACUACAAAGAAAAGAAUAUCUGAUGAACAUGUUAGGCAGCAUUCCACAUCAAAAAUUCUGUUUUUAUCAUUUAAAUACUCGAGGACGAGCAGGAAUUAAGCUUGGGGAUGUUGAUACGUCUCCAACGUAUCUAUAUUUUUUGAUUGUUCCAUGUUGUUAUAUUAUCAUUCUGGGAUGUUUUACAAUCAUUUUUGGCACUAACCUAUUGACAUAAUGCCUAGUGCGAGUUGCUGUUUUCAUCGCAUGCAAUCAAUACCAAGCGGAGUCCAAAUGCAGCGAAACUUUUUGUGGAUUUUUUCUGGACCAAAAGACACAAGAUGGGCCGAAGAAGUACCAGAGAGGUGCCCCGAGGGGGCCACAACCCACCACGGCGCGCCUAGGGGCCCAGGCAUGCCUAGGUGGGUUAUGCCCACCUUGGUGGCCUCCCGCACCACCUCUUUGCUCUAUAAAUACCCCAAUAUUCCAGAAAACCUAGGGAAGCCAACGAAAUUCAAUUCUAGCCACCGCAAGUUCCAGAACCACCAUAUCCAACCUAAACACCAUCAUGGAGGGGUUCAUCAUCCUCAUUGGUGCCUCUUCGAUGAUGCGUGAGCGUGAGUAGUUCAUUCUAGACCUACGGGUCCGUAGUUAGUAGCUUGAUGGCUUCCUCUCUCUCUCUCUCUCUCUCUCUCUCUCUCUCUCUCUCUCUCUCUCUCUCUCUCUCUCUCUCUCUUGCUUCUCAAUAUAAUGGUCUCUUGGAGAUCCAUAUGAUGUAACUCUUUUUGCGGUGUGUUUGUUGGGAUGCGAUGAACUUUGUGUUUAUGAUCAGAUCUAUGUUUUUAUCCAUGAAAGUUAUUUGAGUCUUCUUUGAUUUCUUAUAUGCAUGAUUGCUUAUAGCCUCGUAUUUCUUCACCGAUAUCUGGUUUUUGUUUGGCCAACUUAAUCUAUUUAUCUUGCAAUGGGAAGAGGUGCUUUGUGAUGGGUUCGAUCUUACGGUGCUUGAUCCCAAUGACAGAAGGGGAAUCGACACGUAUAUAUCGUUGCUAUUAAGGAUAACAAGAUGGGGUCUAUUUCUACAUAAAUAGAUCUUGUCUACAUCAUGUCAUCGUUCUUAUUGCAUUACUCCGUUUUUCCAUGAACUUAAUACACUAGAUGCAUGCCGGAUAGCGGUCGAUGUGGGAGUAAUGUAGAUGCAGGCAGGAGUCAGUCUACUAAUCUUGGAUGUGAUGCCUAUAUAAUGAUCAUUGCCUGGAUAUCGUCAUGAGUAUUUGAAGUUCUAUCAAUUGCCCAACAGUAAUUUGUUUAUCCACAUUUUUUAUUUUUCUCGAGAAAAGCCACUAUUGAAACGUACGACCCCUGGGUCUCUUCUUUAUUAUAUUUUCCUUUGAAAUUUAUUUUCUUUUGCUUUUAUUUUUAGAUCGAUUAAUCCAAAAAUACAAAAAUACCUUUCUGCAAUUUUUAGUAAUUUAUUUUAUCUCGCGUUCCCGCAAGAUCUAUUUAUCAAAUCUACUACGGUUUUAUCUAUCUUUUUACCCGUGAGGGAUUGACAACCCCUCUCUUACAUCGGGUUGCAAGUAUUUGUUCUUUGUGUGCAGGAGUUGUUUAUGUGGUGUUGUGUGGUUCUCUUACUGGUUCAAUAACCUUGGUCUCAUAGUGAGGGAAAUACCUACCGUUGUUGUGCUGCAUCAUCCCUUCCUCUUUGGGGAAAUACCGAUGUAGUUCUAGCAGACAUCACUCGACUACAAUGUCUACCAAGAUUCCCACUUCGGUUUUCUCCUCCUCGGCCAUAAUCAGCGAAUAGGGAGAAUUGAGCCUUGCCAACGAGAAGGGGGGAAGACCAGUCGACGAGCCAGGGGAUGGAAUGUUGUUAUAGUAAAACUAGGUCGACUGCAAGCCCCGAACAGACUCAGGAAAAGUUAUUGCAGGGAACGCACUCCUACCUCACAUCUGGACACCUAAGCCCCCACACAUCUGGAUCACAUGGGUCCUCUCAUCACUCAGAUUUGCUCUCUUGGCCGACUGGGACCGGCAAGUGAAGAUAUGUUUGAACAACCCCUAGUGGGGAUGACAACCCAAGAAUUUUUGACACAUCGAGACGAAGGCGGCAAGAUACGAUAUGGCAUUUGAGGGAAAGUGGUGGAUUUGUGCGUCGAAGAAAUUCAGAAAUCCUCGAAAAAACAGAUGAGGAGGCAAGGAGAAACCUCUUUCCACACGAGUGAGGAGGAGGACCCGCUCGCUGGGGCACGGCGCAGGCUCGACCUCUCCCUCUGGUGGCCUCCAAGAUCCGGGACCAACAGGCCGUCGGCGGUGAGCCUGUCUAGGUCCUCCACCGUGACCGUCGACGGUAGCCAGUCGCCCUGGAUCCAGCCUGGUGGCAGCGCGGCCCGGGAGCUCGAAGCCUUCUUCCCCUUGACCGCCUUCUUGGCGCGCUCCAGCUUCGCUGUCUUGUCCUUCGCCAUCUCCAUGGUGGUCGUCAGCGUCGAGCAGCGCAGCGGUGGAAGAGGAGGAGAGGCGAGCGGAAGGGGGAAAAAGGAGAGCACUGUUUUGCGCGCUCUUCGGUCACGUCGCCUCUUAUAACUUCACAUCCAAGUCAUUGACAACUGGGCCCGCGAGAUCCUGGCGCAUCCUAUUGAGCAAAGACUACGUAGUACGUGGCGAAAAAGGUGGAGCAAAAAUUGAGGAGUCCCUCCCCACUUGCCCCACUUACCGUGCCGUUGCCGAUCAUCAUGCUUCUCCAAAAAUUUGAAUCCCGUAGAAUCCGGGCGUGAUAGAACGAUCGUUUGCGUCGAAAGAUCGCCUUGAUCACUUGGGUCCGACCCGACACUCGGGAUCACAUGGUCACAUAUCAAGCCAGAAUCGGCCGAGGCGAUUGAUAAAGAAUUAAAGCACCGCAGGUGUCUGCAGGACUCUGAAGCGCAUCCGAAGCACCGAGUCUAGCCAGAACCCGCACCAAUCCUUUCAUUCAAACCCCGAUCCAUUCGGGGGCUAAUGAUGACGACAUGUAGCCAGGGUAGGGUCACAUGUCUGACCUACAUACCCUACCCAAAGGCAUUAUAUACAGGAAGUCAAGACCUACAAAGUUAGAAAGGAGACACCGACUGGAAUGACCGCAACAUACAAGUCACUCGAACACAGGAUCCACUCGAAAGUUUCCCCAUCACUCGACUGUCCCUGUUUCACUCAGAGUUUCAAGCACCACUAGAAGGAAGAAGACAUAGAGUCACCCUGGGAUGGCAACCGUCGGACGAUCAGUUCAUCACCGUAAAGAGCACCAAAUGCAGACGUUACCAGUAAUGCUCGGCCCUUUACUUCUCCAUCGAACCCUUGGGUAAUGGGCAUUCAUGAGGGGCCAGAGGACUCUAUGUAAGCCAGAGCUGCUUAGCGUGGAGCCAUCGGAGCCACCGGGUUUUCGUCUCUGCCUCAAUCAAUGAAAGGCAGCACGCCCACUCGAAGAGAUGGUCCUCCUUGUUGGGCACCCGACGACGGCAGGCGGACUGCGCAGACCCGUUGGACCCGCCCAUCAUCUCCCUUGUCCUCUGCCUCUCGCGGCUGGCAGCUUGUGCCUCCGACUCCGGAGAACGAAUCCGCGAUGUCGGCUGAGCAUGCACUAGAACCCAGUGCUGCCCGCACGGAGAAGCGGUCGGAGGUGGGGGAGACCGUCGGGCGGGAGGAGUAGAUUGGACAUGCCUCGCAGAUCCGCACGCGGGGCGGGAAAGGCCGGCGCCAGCAAUGGCGCUGCCACAACGGGCGACAGGUGGCAUCGCACCGGAGCCGGAGCUGCCGCCUAUAUCGACCCACGAGCGCUCAAGUGCGAUAUGGAGCACCAGCUCCUUGUCUCCGGAGCUGCCGUCGGAGUGGCUGUCGGUGCUGGACAUGCUCGCCGGUGGUAGGGAUUUGGCGGAUUGGGAAAAUGGGAGCGCCGGGGAGGGGAGCGGAGUGGAGCGCGGUGAGCUAGGAUUUGUGUCGGACGGGGUUUUUGUGGGGUCGGAGUGGACCAGCGAUGGGCCGGGCUGAUGUGGCGGACAAGCCCGGGCGUGCCCAUGCCGCCUCAUAUCCGCCCUACAUUUGGGACAGAUAUGAGGGGUGCCAGUCAGCCCGGGCAUUUGAGGCCCAUCUGAAAGGUCCGGUUGGGUCGGUUUUUUGUGACCGGACAGCCUACCCGGACGUUUGAGACGGAUAUAGGGCGCCCGGUUGUAGAUGCUCUUACGUUGGCACUUUGGCUAGGAAUGUAAUUCAUUCUUCUGGAGCGGUGUGGUAAAUGUUGACCUGUAGGAAGGAUGAUGGUGAUGUCUACGUAGGUAACUGAAAAAUAUACUCCCUUCAUCCGGAAAUACUUGUGAUUAAAAUGGAUAAAAGAAAAUGUAUCUAGAUGUAUUUUAGUUCUAGAUACAUAUCUUUUUGUUUAUUUUGAUGACAAAUAUUUUUGAACGGAGGGAGUACUUGUUAAUGAUCAAGGAUGUCCUCUAGGUCCAACUAAUCAACUCUAGAAUGUGCCUUACCUCAUACAGUACAUGCUAUUUUCUAUCAAAAGCACGCUAUGAACGGCCAUCGUGUAGUUUCAACCCAUGCUGCCAUCAAAUUGCGUACUACUCCAUGCGUUCCGAUUUACUCGUCGUGAUUUUAGUUUAAAUUUGAACUAGAACCACGGCGAGUAAAUCGGAACGGAGGGAGUACAAGUUUACAACUUGUCUUUUGCUUGUUCAUGUUGCCUGAGCUGCGAGUGGGGUGUUGGUUAGGCACUGCCACUUUGGCGGCCUUCUAGACUUCUAGUAUUCGUUCACUGAUGAUUCGAUGGGAGGUAUAUGGAACGUCUCUAAUUUGAUGAACUAUUGCCUCUAGGAAGGUUGACUAGAAGGUUUGCUCAAGAGAGAGCAGCUCCACCUAACAGAUACAGUUGAUGCGGUGAGGUGUUCUUCUGCAUUCUAUUACACUGUUUCCUUUGAGGCCGAAUCAGGAAGUACUUAUGCCUGAACCAACAUCUCAAACUUUUUUGAUGUUGCACUUGUUUGUGAAUGUGCACAUUUUAUAUUUUAGUGACACAUUUGAAAAACAAAUGUGAUUUUCCUUGCGCACAAGGCUGAGCAAGUAUAUAUGGUCAAACAUCCAGUAUUACAGUAACCGUUCCCUUUUAGUAUUUGCAUGGAGCCAUGAAUUCUCAUCAUAGAAAAGGUGUACUGGGAUCAUGGCCAUACAACUAGCUAGUAUCAUGCUACUGUCCAGUAUUUCGGAAUGAGUGGUCUACCAUGGGCAUGAAAUAUUUUUACUAGGAUUCGGGGCUACAAAUGAAACUGCUCAAGCUAGUGUGCUCACUGCCACGGUGCAGCUAAUAUCUUUUGCGGAUUUCUGUUACAAGCAUGCACGAAACAGGAAACGUGUGUUGUGCAGUUGAACUCUUUUAGUAGUCUAGGCCUUCCAAAUGCAUAACUGCAUUGGGGAUCUACAAAUAUCACUUGUGUAAAACUCUGAGGACACCGAUUUUGUUAAAACAUACCUUCCCUGUAAGGUCAGUAUGCAUACAAAGCUGUACUGCAAAGCAAACUUGAGUACAACUUGUCUCUUUCAUCCAUCUGCAGGGUCACAUGGUACUGUGAUCAUAUCAUUUGGAUGUUACUAGCACACUUUCCCUCCAUCUAUGCAAGUGGUAACAUGGUAUGCCGCGUUGAUGGGACGUCGAAAAUCGCAGCAUGAUCCGAUCGAUAUUUUUGAGCCAUUGGCAUUUUUUCGCUGGCACGUCAACUCGGAACUUUCUGUAAUUUGUUUUACCUACUUGUCGCGAUGAAAAAUCUUCCAGAAGCUUUUGAAUUCCGGUAGCUGUUUUUUCACUAGCGGACUAAACCUAUCAUGCACAUCGGUCCUUGCAGACGCGGAAGGUGUACCCGUGUGACGACCUGAGGUCGGAGCUCGGCGACAGGUCGUAGAGGGAUCACCGGACCAAUUCGCCUGUUCAGGUCAUGUUUCUGGGUAAAUUGAAAAUCUUCCGCUCUUCCACUACUGGAGCUUGCAUCUUGAUGGAUGAUUCUUCCUUCAUCUCUUGUUGUUAGAUCAUCAAUAACCAGACUCGUGAAACGCUCCCUAUAAGUCCGAGCGGACAGCCUGAUAGUGAUCGGUCACAAAAUCUCAACCCAGCCGCACCCCUCAUAUCUAGAUUGGUCAUUGUCUGUGAAUCCGCCCGGGCGCGUCCACGGACGUCUAGGGGGACGGAUUUGCUAAGUCCGGUUAUAGAUGCUUUUGCAAGCCAACACGCCAAACCUCAUCAUCUCAUAGAUCUGCGGCGAUCUUCACCGCCGAUAACUCACAGCUCACGGGCGGCGCUGCAUGCACGGAGAGACAUUCUAGGUCAAGUGAAGCGUAAUCGCUGUAGACGGGGCGGCGCUGCUGGUGUUUCUGAAUGAAAACGACGUGACGGGGGCAAUAAUACGGGCGACGGUGUCAGCUGGGGCGGGGUGCGCGGUUUGGCCCGGCGUCUGCGGGUCGCUGUGUAACGUGCCCUGGCAAUGGGUUGGUUUCGGAGCUUAGCCGAGGCCGCGACGCAAGUGGUCGCUGUGGGCAUGAUGAGACCAAAAGCGCCAUUGAUUUGCCCUUGGUCUCAUCCAUCCCUGCUCGCCCGUUGCGUGUGCGUACAAAAACACGUAUAGCUGGUCCAUGGAGCCCGAUGCGUUGGGCGAUUUGGCCGGUUGUAGCUAGGGCUACGGCUUUGGUCUCUUGCAACCGGCAGCUAGCUGGCUAGACCUGCUUGGCUUUGGCUUGUGUAACAAACUACCAACUGGCCGGGUCAGCUAGCCAGCCAGUCAUAGGAACAUCAUGCGGAGGAUUAAGCUAGCUAGCUGGUUUGCGUAUGGUGUAGGAUGCACUGCAGCUGGUUGCUUGCACAAGGCCACAAGGCCACAACCACAACCAUACCCAUUCAUCUAUCACCCAUAUCAGUGGCCCAUAUGCAUGUAUGGCCGCUCUGAUUAGCUUCAUCAGGGUGUGGUUGCACUCUGCUAAGCUUACUUCCCUCUGGGGUCAACUGUUACUACACAUGCAUAUAUGUGCCACUCUGCAUACGAUCAGCUCACCGUUUCACUGCAUGCAUGUUAUUACAGCUCGUGCUUACACUUUCCUGAGCACCUAAUUGACUUCUGUUAUGGCUUGAGCUAUCUCCCAUGCAUGUGUAAAGACACAAAACGUACACAUGGGAGUAUCUACAUAUUUGAGAUUUCGGUGCACAUAUGGACGAUGCGAUGUGAGCCACGUAUUCCUGUCCUUCACUAGGUUCCAACGGGGCUCUUAAUGUGCCAGCUAGGAGUGGUGUGACCCCCUUCUUCACAUGCAUGCAUGCAUGCAUGCAAGGCCCAUGCAGCGCAGGGUACCCUACACCGGCCGUCACCAACCAAAUCACAUGCGUGCGUGAUACACAUAUACACGCCGUCUCCGGCCGGGCUAUAUAAACCACCCACACCUUGCUAGCUUCCUUCAUUAGACCUACUAAACCCUCCUAGCUCACUCUCGCCAGCACUAGCUAGCUAGCUUAGCCGGCAGCAAUGGCGUCCAGGACCUCGGCGGCGUGCCUGCUGGCGCUGCUGGUGGCCAGCACGUUCCUGGCCGGCGACGCGUGCAACAGCUGCAAGCACCACACCCCUCCCCCGGCGUCCCCGUCCCCGCCCCCGCCAGCGCCUGCUACCCCGACGCCAUGCCCGCCACCGCCGUCAUCGGGCGGCACGGGGUACUGCCCCACGGACACACUGAAGCUGGGCGCCUGCGCCAACGUGCUGGGCCUAGUGAGCGCGGGCGUCGGCACCGCCCCCAGCGGCGGCGGCGACAAGUGCUGCAGCCUCCUCGGCGGCCUGGCCGACCUUGAGGCCGCCGUGUGCCUCUGCACCGCGCUCAAGGCCAACGUCCUCGGCAUCGUCCUCAACAUCCCCAUCAAGCUCAGCCUCCUCCUCAACUACUGCGGCAAGACCGCCCCCAAGGGCUUCCAGUGCGCUUAAUUCAUCAGCAAAUCGUCCAUCACUCAGCGCAUGCAUGCAUCGUCAGUGCAUCCGUUAUUUUAGUUGUUCAUUCCAAAUUUGAUUUCAUCAUGCAAUAAUAUAUCGGUCGGUUGUUAAGUAGUUUUUCUUGCGUGUGUUAAUUUAUAUGCACUGGUUUGGUGAGAUUAAUUUGUCUUAGUUUGGCUGUGUCGUACUACAAGAGAUACAUACGAUUGGGUGUGCGUGUGUGAAUGAACAGUAAUUUGAUUAAGCAUGUGUAACACUUGUAUUUGUUUGAUGAAAUGUAAUUUGCAGAAUAUUCAUUCAUUAGUCGCUGCGGAUUUCCAAUAGCAUUUAUCUGUUAUGUACAUUACGUGGUACUCCAACACAAGCUUAUUUCAUUUCAUGAAUGAAUUUGAUGCCGGUUUCAUCCUUUUGUCCGAAAAGCACAAUAAGCUUGUUUGAUGCAAGUGUAUGUCCAAUGGGAUGUUGAAUGGUCGUGGCCCAUGUCCUGGAGAAGAUAGUGUAUAUGUAGUACGGUAUCAGCUUCUUUUUUUGAAUAGUCUGGAUUGCUUAUCGCUAGUAUGUACCAAUGCAAGUUCCAAGAUGUGAUUCAUUUCCCCCUUUUUUUAGAAAUAGUUCAUAUUUAGAAGAUUUUGGGAAAAGUUUGCCAUGAAAGAAGAUGGGCUGGCAGGGAUGAAUUUUGUCGCCCAUGUUUACAUGUGGCCCACUUGUUGGAUGCACUACCAAGUUUAAAAUGUCAAAUCAAAAUAUAUGUGAUCCAUAUUAACUAGGAGUAACAAAAUUUCUCCAUUUUUUCCUAACACCAUUCAACACCCAAAAUUUAUAUUGUUUGAUUUAUGAAUCAAUAUGAAAAUAUACUUCAUGAUAGUUAGUACUGGUAACAAUAUUUCUCCAUUUUUGUACUAUUAACAUAUAGUACUCCAUUCAACAUCCAAACUGUAAGGGCUACUUUGCUUCAAGGGAAAUCUAAAGGAUUUUUGAAGGAUUGAAAUCCACAGGAUUUUUCAUACAUUGGUCCUUUAAUUCAUAGGAUUGGAUCCCAUAGGAAUUUUUCCUAUGCAAUCCUUUUUACUAUGUUUCAUAGGAAAUCUAACAGCCACUCCAACAUCUUUUUUACCAUUCCCAUGUUUUAAAAAUCCUGCGAAUCAAAGAGGCCCUAACUAGUUUUAUUAUACUAACAUGAUCACUGCAUGUAUGACAAAGUUACUUGAUUAAUUUCUUGUGGCGUAGUCUAAAUCCCGUAUAGAAGAUCGUGUAUACCAUCUUUUGGAGAUGCUCUUACUCGGGUAUGAUCUAAGGUGGAGUUUCUGUCAGAUAAGCCCUUGAGCUAGAUCCUAACUAUGCUACACUAUGCCCUGCUAGACUAAAGAUAUACCAAAUGCAGUUAUUCAUUGAAUUUAAUGCAUAUGAAGGCAUGCAAACAAGCAAUUGAAGGGCCGGAAAGCCAAAUUUACCCUUUCAAUUUAUGUAGAAAAUUGGCUUAAUUACUUCACAAAUUCGUUACUCUUUUUGCAUGUAUCGCUGAUUAAUUUCCACUGAUCGUGGAUCCAAGGAUAUGAACAUCCAGAAAAUGGAGUGCACAGACCACAGGAGGAUUACAUCAGUCAAAUUCGGUGAGAUCGGAGAGAUAAAACACAAAAUGUACCUAGGUUCAGACCCUGGCAUGUCCUUCCUUUUAAUCUUUGCUGCAAUAUGUCAAGAACAGCGUCAAACUGAGCAACGUGAUGCAUCGGUGUUUGUUGCAAACGUCAAUACAAUAGAUUUUUUUCUUUUUCUUUUUUGCAAAAAAGAGGAACUAACGACUUUAGGUGACAUAUGUGUGCAAGUUGUGACUUUUACGCUAUGAACUACUCCCUCUGUCCCAAAAUGUAAGACGUUUUUGAGGCUUAGACUAAGUCUCAAAAACGUCUUACAUUUUGGGACGGAGGGAGUAGUUUUUAAUACUAUACGCUUGUAUAGCAACCUCUGAUGUAGUAUGAGGCAAAAGCAAGGGGUAUCCGCUGGAUUGAAUACCGUAUGGGAAUCAUACGCUCAAGAGUCGUACGCAGAGUACUUUACUUUCAUACUCAUAUAAAGAUAUAGCUCAAUCUCCUCUCCGCCACCGACAAAUAGUACCACUUCGGGCAGGUUAUGAUCGCUUACUAUGCAAGGUGCUAUGAAGGGGCCGGUAAUCAUUUCUGUCAAGGAGCCCAUCAUUCAGAUUGAAAAAUGUGGGUUAUGUAGGUAUAGUAUACCUGUUAUAUAUUCCUUUCCCUGUAUAUAAAUUCCGUUGUAAGCGUGCAUACAAACUCCGCUCCGUGGCCGGCAUAAACUACAAGAAGAUGAUCACACUCACCCCAUAUCUUUUCCAACACAUGAAUGGCCAUCGCCAUGCCGGUGAAGGUGACCUUUGCAGUUUCCAGGCCGGCGCGGCGAGAUGGGUGGUGCUGCGAGACGUCUUUGCCUUUCACCUCUCUGGCGUCGGUCGUGGUGACCCUCCUGCCGGGGAAGCCAACAAAACCCGAGCGCUCACGGGCGGCGCAUCCUUACAAAUCACCCGUACCAGCCAGCCAGCUGCUGCCUUUCCCUGCCUCUGACCCUGACCAGGAUCGGCACCAGCCACUUGCAUUCUAGUGCAAUUGCAACGUGAAUUGCUGGGUGGAUCCAUCGGCCGGCACCAACCGUAUCAUGCAUGCAUGUUGCUUGACUGACCGCCAUUUUCGUGUCCCAUCAUUAUACAUACAUGCAUGCAUGUGACGCGUUUUCACUCUACUGUUGCACGAUAAGACGGCCCAUGAUGAAAUUUCAUUAGAAGGAAAGAAGAAAGACGUACUCCCUCCGUAAACUAAUAUAAGAGCGUUUAGAUAACUAUUUUUAGUGAUCUAAACGCUUUUAUAUUAGUUUACAGAGGAAGUACUAUGUAUUGUUUGCCGUACGUUGUAGUACGCAGAGUAACAAAAAGCCUCCCACCAGCAUUUGUAAAAAAAAUCUUCGGCUCGCCUCCGCCCGCGACCUCACGGCCAUCUAUGUCAUCACCGGCUCCGGCUCGGCCUCAUUGGCGAGCCUAUAUGCUCUCAUGUCUCAGGCUCGAGCCUUCGCCCCUCUCUCAAAUGAAAUCGACUGACACAAUUUCCAAACACACUCAACUAAGAUUUAUCAACACCUUUAAUGAAAUCAUUUUACAAUUGUCAACAUGCUAAUUGCGUUGAGAUUUGCCUACUACUUUUGUAUUGUGCUUUUACGGUUAAACUCUUAAUUUAACUAGUAACUUAUGCUUCUUUAGAUUCCUUAAAUCGGUUGAAUGGUAUUGACAGUCUUGACCAAAAUGAUGACUCCAUUUGCAAAGCAAAUCUCUUAGCAUGCUCGAUUAACAACAUCGUUCAAGCAUGACACGUUGCGUGCAUGGACAAGUUAUGGGAAGAUCAAUGCUCCUUAAUAUUGGUCAAACAUUUAUAAGUUUUGCCUGGUUAAGAACAGAUGCAUCUUAUAUUCUGAAACGGAGUGAGGAUUCCGCAUGGGGCUCGGUGGCCUGGUGACAACCAACCAACAGAUGCCGCGUCAUUCGGUAAUAACCUAUCCGUAACAAUGAAAUGAAAUCCGAAGGUGUAGCAUCACUGCAAUAUGUAUCUACGUCGUAUAUACGCAUACAGGGUCAACACGCAGAUCUUUGUCCCAUCAUCUUUGACCUUGACCGUGACCGUGACGUGGACUAUAUGCAGCGCAUGUAGGGUCGAUCGACAUGCAGAUCUUUUUGGUACUUCGUCUUUGACCGUGACACGUGCAUGUCGACCAAAUGUUUUAGUGCGUAUCACAUGCUUGCAGAUAUAGGAACAAAAACUAUACGUCUGCGAUGUUUGGUGUCUUCUGUCCGAAGGAGCGUACGGAUGGGACGGUUUCGUGGCUUGCUGUGUGCAUGGCUCACACUGCUGCCGAUCCCACUGCAGAGCCUCGUCAUUUUCCGGCUGCACUGGGUAUUCCUCAUUGGCAUGAUGCAAUGGAACAAGAGUUUCAGGCCCUCCAAAAGAAUGAUACUUGGCAUCUUGUUCCUCCAGUGUCUGGCGUCAACGUCAUUGAUUUCAAGUGGGUUUUCAAAGUCAAGAGACAUGCUGAUGACUCCAUUGAACGCUACAAGGCACGGUUAGUUGCCAAGGUCUUGAAACAGAGGUAUGGUCUUGAUUAUGAAGACACUUUCAGUCCAGUCAUCAAGCCUACUACCAUUCGAUUAAUACUAUCUCUUGCGGUUACUCGCGGAUGGUUCCUUCGUCAGCUUGAUGUGCAGAAUGCUUUUCUACAUGGCAUUCUGGAGGAGGAGGUUUAUAUGCGUCAACCACCUGGUUUUGUUGACCUGACAUGACCUCAUCAUCUCUGUCGUCUGGUUAAGGCACUAUAUGGACUCAAACAGGCUCCUUGUGCAUGGCAUGCUCGCCUUGGAUCUGUUCUUCUGGCUCUUGGGUUUACUCCCCCCACUGCUGAUACGUCACUGUUUCUCCUCCAGCGCCCUGAGGUUACGAUGUAUCUCUUGGUUUAUGUUGAUGAUAUCAUCCUCAUCAGUUCCUCUACUGCUGCUGCUGAUCGCCUUGUGAUUGCUCUCCGUGAUGAUUUUGCUGUCAAAGAUUUAGGUUCUCUUCACUUUUUCCUUGGUCUUGAGGUUUCAUGGUCCUCUGCUGGUUUGACUCUCACUCAGAAAAAGUACUCCUUGGACUUGUUGCGUCGUGCUAGAAUGCUCAAAUGCAAACAUGUUAACACUCCGAUGUCUGCCACUGAUUAGUUGUCUGCUCUUGAUGGUGACUCUCUCUCUCGUCUGAUGAUGCUACUGAGUAUCGCAGUCUCAUUGGUGGUCUGCAAUACCUUACUAUUACCAGGCCUGAUAUCUCCUAUGCAGUCAACCGUGUCUGUCAGUUUCUGCAUGCACCCAGGACGUCUCACUGGUCAACUGUGAAGCGUAUUUUGCGCUAUUUCAAUUUUACUGCCUCCUAUGGUUUGCUUCUUCAGUCUGCACCGUCGUAUGAGCUCUCAGCUUUCUCUGAUGCAGAUUGGGCUGGUAGUCCGGAUGACAGGCGAUCCACAGGGGGUUAUGCGGUAUUUCUGGGUCCUAACUUGAUCGCCUGGAAUGCUCGCAAGCAAGCAACAAUGUCUCACAGUAGUACUGAGGCUGAGUACAAAGUUGUUGCUGAUGCGACUGCUGAGAUCAUAUGGGUACAGUCUCCGUUGAGAGAGUUGCGUGUUCCUCAAGCUCGUCCUCCGGUCCUAUGGUGUGACAACAUUGGUGCUACAUAUCUUUCUUCUAAUCCGGUGUUUCAUGCUAGGACAAAACACAUUGAGGUGGAUUAACACUUUGUUUAGGAACAUGUUGCACACAAGCUACUCUGUAUCAAGUUCAUCUCAUCAAAGGAUCAACUUGCUGACAUCUUCACGAACCCUCUUCCAUAACCAUAGUUUGUAGGAUGUAGGCGCAAUCUUAACUUGCUUUGUAUUUCAGGACAUAGUUAAGAUUGAGGAAGGGUGUUAGACUGUAUAUACGUAGCCUCUGUAUAGGAUGUAGGCGCAAUCUUAACUUGCUUUGUAUUUCAGGACAUAGUUAAGAUUGAGGAAGGGUGUUAGACUGUAUAUACGUAGCCUCUGUAUAUACAGUGUAUAUACAGAGGCUACGUAUAUACAGUCUAACACCCUUCCUCAAUCUACUGUAUAUACAGAGGCUACGUAUAUACAGUCUAACACCCUUCCUCAAUCUUAACUAUGUCCUGAAAUACAAAGCAAGUUAAGAUUGCGCCUACAUCCUACAAACUAUGGUUGUGGAAGAGGGUUCGUGAAGAUGUCAGCAAGUUGAUCCUUUGAUGAGAUGAACUUGAUACAGAGUAGCUUGUGUGCAACAUGUUCCCAAACAAAGUGUUAAUCCACCUCAAUGUGUUUUGUCCUAGCAUGAAACACCGGAUUAGAAAAAAGAUAUGUAGCACCAAUGUUGUCACACCAUAGGACCGGAGGACGAGCUUGAGGAACACGCAACUCUCUCAACGGAGACUGUACCCAUAUGAUCUCAGCAGUCGCAUCAGCAACAGCUUUGUACUCAGCCUCAGUACUACUGUGAGACAUUGUUGCUUGCUUGCGAGCAUUCCAGGCGAUCAAGUUAGGACCCAGAAAUACCGCAUAACCCCCCGUGGAUCGCCUGUCAUCCGGACUACCAGCCCAAUCUGCAUCAGAGAAAGCUGAGAGCUCAUACGACGGUGCAGACUGAAGAAGCAAACGAUAGGAGGCAGUAAAAUUGACAUGGCGCAAAAUACGCUUCACAGUUGACCAGUGAGACGUCCUGGGUGCAUGCAGAAACUGGCAGACACGGUUGACUGCAUAGGAGAUAUCAAGCCUGGUAAUAGUAAGGUAUUGCAGACCACCAAUGAGACUGCGAUACUCAGUAGCAUCAUCAGACGAGAGAGAGAGUCACCAUCAAGAGCAGACAACUAAUCAGUGGCAGACAUCGGAGUGUUAACAUGUUUGCAUUUGAGCAUUCUAGCACGACGCAACAAGUCCAAGGAGUACUUUUUCUGAGUGAGAGUCAAACCAGCAGAGGACCAUGAAACCUCAAGACCAAGGAAAAAGUGAAGAGAACCCAAAUCUUUGACAGCAAAAUCAUCACGGAGAGCAAUCACAAGGCGAUCAGCAGCAGCAGUAGAGGAACUGAUGAGGAUGAUAUCAUCAACAUAAACCAAGAGAUACAUCAUAACCUCAGGGCGCUGGAGGAGAAACAGUGACGUAUCAGCAGUGGGGGAGUAAACCCAAGAGCCAGAAGAACAGAUCCAAGGCGAGCAUGCCAUGCACAAGGAGCCUGUUUGAGUCCAUAUAGUGCCUUAACCAGACGACAGAGAUGAUGAGGUCAUGUCAGAUCAACAAAACCAGGUGGUUGACGCAUAUAAACCUCCUCCUCCAGAAUGCCAUGUAGAAAAGCAUUCUGCACAUCAAGCUGACGAAGGAACCAUCCGCGAGUAACCGCAAGAGAUAGUAUUAAUUGAAUGGUAGUAGGCUUGAUGACUGGACUGAAAGUGUCUUCAUAAUCAAGACCAUACCUCUGUUUCAAGACCUUGGCAACUAACCGUGCCUUGUAGCGUUCAAUGGAGUCAUGGGCAUGUCUCUUGACUUUGAAAACCCACUUGGAAUCAAUGACAUUGACGCCAGACACUGGAGGAACAAGAUGCCAAGUAUCAUUCUUUUGGAGGGCCUGAAACUCUUGUUCCAUUGCAUCAUGCCAAUGAGGAAUACUCAGUGCAGCCUGAAAAUGAUGAGGCUCUGAAGUGGGAUCGGCAGCAGUGUGAGCCAUGCACGCAGCAAGCCACGAAACCGUCCCAUCCGUAAGAAGACACCAGACUGGCUCCGUGUGCGAGGACGAAGAAUGACAGCAGGUUCUGCUAGCAAGGUCGGUGCAGCAGAGGAUGUUGGUGAGGCCUGCACCGAGUAGGGCGAGUCGGGCUCACCGGUGACCGGAACAGGGCUGGUCGGCGACCCUGGCGCCAAAGCAGACCCGGCCAAAGCAGGUGACGGGGCCUCCGGGCCAGUGACAGCAGCAGCCGGCCCGGGCGAGAGACCCGCUAGUGGCCCGGGCGAGCCACGCAAGGCGGGCGCUAGUGAGGCUUGCGAGCCGGGUGAAGGUGGCGCUGGCGAGGCUGCUAGUGCGGACGAGGCCAGCGAGCCAGGCGAGGCAGGCGCUAGCGAGCCCAGCGCCCACGGGGCCAGCGAGGAGCCAGGCCGACCCGGCGCCCGCGAGGCGGACGGGGGAGCCUCCACAGGGGAGACGGGGACAGGUUGGCAGGUGCCGCAUGUCAUGCAUGGCGCAUGCACGUCCCGAUCAGGACGCUCAUCGGUGACCUGUUCAUCAAGUAGCUCGAGCCGGGCACCGCGUCCAAUACCUGCAGCAUGAUUAGGAAGCAACGCAGUGGCAUAUGCAACAUCCAGGCAUAGGUGUGGACACAUGCACUGGUGGUGUAGAAGUGGUAUAGUUAGUCGGAAGUGCAUGAAAAGGAAAAACAUUUUCAUCAAACACAACGUCACGAGAGAUGUAGGCGCGGUUGGUAGAAACAUGCAAGCACUUGUACCCUUUGUGAAGAGAACUAUACCCGAGAAAGACGCACUUCUUAGACCGAAACUCUAGCUUGCGCUUGUUGUAUGGACGUAAGUGAGGCCAAAAUGCACACCCGAACACUUUGAAGAAUGUGUAGUCUGGAUUCUCAUUAAGAAGAAGUUCAAGAGGGGUUUGCAUUUUCAGAAGUCUCGAGGGAAGCCUGUUUAUGAGAAAACAAGUUGUAGAGAAAGCAUCACUCCAGAACCGAAACGGGACGGAGGCAUGAGCUAGCAAGGUUAGGCCAGUUUCAACAAGGUGACGAUGCUUACGCUCGUACCAUUCUGCUGAUGUGUAUGAGGACAUGACACGCGGUGCAAAAUCCCAAGUUUGUUAAAAAACGAGUCGAGNNNNNNNNNNNNNNNNNNNNNNNNNNNNNNNNNNNNNNNNNNNNNNNNNNNNNNNNNNNNNNNNNNNNNNNNNNNNNNNNNNNNNNNNNNNNNNNNNNNNNNNNNNNNNNNNNNNNNNNNNNNNNNNNNNNNNNNNNNNNNNNNNNNNNNNNNNNNNNNNNNNNNNNNNNNNNNNNNNNNNNNNNNNNNNNNNNNNNNNNNNNNNNGAAGACGCUCAACAUGUGCUUGAAACUGAAUAAAGACAUCGAACACAUCAGACUUACGUUUAAUAAGAUAUAACCAAGUAAAACGGUUGUAAGCAUCAAUGAAACUGACAUAAUAAUUGUGACCGCUAAUAGAUGUCUGGGCAUGACCCCAUACAUCAGAAAACACAAGCUCAAGAGGAUGUUUCACAACACGACUAGACUCUGAAAAAGCAAGUUGAUGACUCUUGCCCUGCCGACAGGCAUCACAAAUAGUUUCAGCAGUUUUAUUGGACACAACUGGUAGAUCAUGACGAUGCAAAACAUGUCGAACUAUGGGAGCCGCCGGGUGACCAAGGCGCGCAUGCCAGUGUGUAGGCGACACACGAACACCAUUGAACGCCUGAGGAGAGGACGACAUGGAAGGUGGGCGCGGCGCAUCAAGUGCAUACAGGCCAUGGCGAAGACGACCACUAAGUAGAACGGCCCUCGUGUCCCGAUCCUUGAUAAAGAAACGAAAAGGGUGAAACUCAGCAAGGAUAUUAUUAUCACGAGUAAGUUGAGGAAUGGACAACAAACUACGUGUAGCAGAAGGAACACGAAGGACAUUAGAUAGAUGCAAUGUGCGAAAAUUGUGUGCAAGGAGAGAAGCCUAACCAACAUGGGAGAUGCGCAUACCUGCUCCACUGGGGGUGUGCACCUAAUCAUGACCACGAUAUGGCUCCUGAGCAGAGAGCUUACCCAUCUCACCGGUGAGGUGGUUGGUAGCUCCAGUGUCCAUGUACCACACAGGAUCAACGGAGUAAGACGGAGUACGUCCAUGAUCAUGACUCGCCAUGGCGGCGGCGGCCUGCCUGUCGUUCCCUUUGCCAUUGUUGCCUAGGCCCAGAAAAUCUUGCUUGUAGCGACGGUGGCAGCGAGAGGCAAUGUGGCGCUCAAGGCCACACAACUGGCAGGCCUGUUGGGCACCACAAGAAGAACAACAUGCCACCGGCCGGUUACCACCCGUGAUGGUCGGAGCAUUGCCCCGCGAGGCCGGCUGUGAAGGAGGCGCCGGUCUGCCUCCUGAAGAUGAUGACCGCUGGGGCUUGCCACGAGUUGCGGCAUUGGCGGAGGCGAAAUUGGGGGAGGCCCGGCGCACCUUAAUGCACUGCUCACAGCCAAGCAAACGUGCAUAGAGCUCACGAGGUGGAAGCGGGUCAUCACGGCCAUGAACAUUCUCAAUGAGAUUGUCAUAAUCAUCAUCAAGCCCAUUAAGCACGAAGGUGGUGAACUCCUCAUCCUGCAGCGACUGACCAACUGAGGCCAACGUGUCGGCGAGACCCCACAUCUUGUUGAAGUAGUCAGUGAUGCUGAGGUCACCAAGCUUCGUCUCACCCAUCUCGGUGCGUAUAGAGUGAGCACGCGCCUGGGACUGAGAGGCAAAACUGGUGUGAAGCGCCGCCCACACCGCCCGCGACGUAGCGGCGAAGAUGACCAGUGAUGAGAUGCUCGGGGUGAGCGAGGACUGGAUGGCAGAGAGGAUGUCCUAAUCCUGAGCCACCCAAGUGUGGAACGCCGGGUGGUGAGGGGGCGGACACUCGAGGGAUCCGUCAACGUAGCCCUCCAAAUAGCGACUCCGCAGAAGAGGGAGCACCUGGGCACACCAGGACAGGUAGUUGUCCGGCGCAAGCUUCACCGGUAGCAGAUGCGAGAAGUAGAACGGCGCCGGCACCAUGGCCGAAUCAGCAUGGGCAUGCGGCGAUGCAUACAGGUCCAUCGACGAGGCCGCCCCAGGGUGUACGGGAUACACCGAGUAGGGCGGGUAGGAUUCGGGGGAGACCGCCCCGGGCGCGCCGUUGUGUGUCGCGGGGGUGCCGUAGGGUGCCGCGGGGGCACCGUGGUAGGGUGCCUCGGGGGCACCGUGGUUUGCCGCGGCCGAAACCACUGCAGCGAGGCAGCCGCAGCUCCAUGCGGGUGCGGGGAGGACGCCGGGUAGGGUUGAGGCGGCGCCGGCGCCGAGUACGAUUGGGGCGGCGAGGGCGCCAAGGAGGGUUGAGGCAGCGCGGGCGCCGAGUAGGUCAGCGGCGGCGGCGCGCCGUAGUAGUGAUGAGGUGGCGGCGCGCCAUAGGGUUGGGGCAGCGCCGUCCAAGAUGACGACGGCGGCGGCCCACCAUGGAUCGCGGGAACACCGCCCGCAGAAGGAGCAGCGCCAGAGGGAGCACCUGUCGGGGUGGCGCCGCGGUCUCCCGAUCCGAUCGGGGAGCGAGGCGACGACGAGGCACCGUAGGCCAUCACGAGGGGCUGCGUGGCAAGGAACGGUGAGGCAGUGGCGAGGGCCGGCACCGCGGCGGCGGCGGUAGGAACCGAGGUCGGCGCGACGGCGGCGGUGGCGGCGGCAGCGGAAGACAUCGUAACCUAAUUUGAUACCAUGUAAGACAUAUGAUUUGGGAACUGCUCGACAACCCUAACCUGGGAUGUGACUAUCUCAUUAUAUAGAGGUACCCAAGGGGUGCAAUACAAUAUUACAAUACAGAUAUGCAGAAGCUACGUAUAUUUAGUCUAACAUGCUGUACUCCUAGCUACGUGCUGAGACGUGAACUAAUUAAGCAGGCGCGUACGACAAUUGCAUCAAGUGAAUAAUCAACCAGCCAACACAACAAGGUCCAUUAUAACCUAGUUGUUCGAUGUCGAGCGUGUCAUUAGCUAGCAGUGGCGCGCACGUACGAAGUCUAAACAAACUGGCAAAUGAUCGAUUGAUUUAUCAAACAAGCAGUAUAUACGUACAACUAGCUACGUGUCAAGGGUAUUGAGGUUCAAACACCGGACAGCUUUGUCGAUCAGGGUCCUAGCGACUAAUUAUAUCAGGUCAAUAUCACCUAAAAUGCCAAGCAGAAAGGAUGGUUGCAUAUGGAAGAAGCCAAGUGACGGUGUGGUGAAAAUAAAUGUGGACGCAUCGUUUCAUGGAGAUACUUUGUCAGGGGAGCUAUAGCUCGUGAUGACAAAGGAGAUUUUAUUGCUGCUGCAAAUUGGUUUAUCCCACAUAUACAAUAUGUUGAUGCUGCUGAACUUACUGCUAUCAGGAACGGUCUUUUUUCUAGCGGCUAGCGUCGGGUGCAAUUAAGUCGAAGUUGAAUCAGAUUGCUCAUUUGCUGUGGACACCUUGAACUCCAUGGAUUAUUUGGGUCCUCAUGUGGCAAUAGUGGUUGAUUGCAAUCAGCUAGCGAUGGAGUUCGGACGCAUUUCUUUCAAGCAUUGCUACCGUGAGCCGUGAGGCAAAUCAAGUGGCGGAUGAGUUAGCAAAGAAUUUUUUUGUUAGUAGAUCCUCUAGUUCUUGGGAAUCUGUGAUUUCAGAUUUUAUUUCUCAUUCUCUUGUAAACGACAUGUCUAUUAUUUGAGAAGUAAAGUGUUUUACCCGUCAGAAAAAAAAGCUACAUUCGUAGUACACUAGUCAAUGACAUAUAUGCCGGAGAUGUUGCCGUGGAUGGGUCUUCUAGGAGGGGCACUGGAAGCCGGAGGGGACGUUCUUGCCGCAGUAGUUGAUGAGGAGGCUGAGGUCGACGGGCACGUUGAGGUGGAUGCCCAGGAUGUUGGCCUUGAGCGCCGUGCACAGGCACACGGCCGCAUCCAGGUCCGCCAGCCCCUGGAGCAGCGAGCAGCACGUCUGCUUCGGCGUCGUCACCGGCCGCAGGUUGAUCAGCCCGCCCAGCACGUUCGCGCACGCCCCAAGCUUCAGCGCGUCGAUCGGGCACUGCCCGCUGCCACCCUUGCCUCCACCGCCGCCGCCGCCCCCUCCUCCUCCCCCUGCCGGCGGCGGCGGGCUAGGCAGGUGGCACCCGCAGUCGUCGGCCAAGGCGAAGAAGAGCAGGUUCAGUGCCAGCAGCGUGACGAGCACCGCCGCUUUCGUCGCCAUAGCUUCCUAUCCGAGCUACUGCGAGUCUACUACGUACAGGGUUUAUUAGAGCUAGCUCACUCUGGCUGUGUGUGUCAAGUGCAAGGGACCUCCGGGUGCUACUUAUAGACCAAGAAGAAAGGAAGGUGUUGAACUAGCUCCUAGCUUAGAGCAUUUUCAACAGCCGCACAACGUGCGAGUCGCGCUAAAAAUGAGAAUACCGCGCCGCGCGAGCUGGGUUUUGCGCGCGGCGCUGCGCUGACUCCAGCGGCCGCCGCAAAAUAAAGCGCGGCCUAACCGCUCCAGCAGACGUGCUAUAUUUUUUUUUUCUUGAGACGAUUGCAUACAUAGCAUACAAAUAUGAAGAUAAUUCGGCACAUAGCCUGCUUCUACGAUACAAAAUGCGUACAUCUAGACUUCUCCAAUGAUAUAUAGUUCUACUACGUCCACAUAGCCUGCUUCUACGAUACAAAAUAAAACUAUUACUACUCGUUCUCCGACUCGGACUCUGCCUCGGUGAUGUCCUCCUCCGACGUCUGAGCAUAGGCGUCAAGGAACCGCUCGUCGCGGGAGUCCCAUGACGACGCAUCUCCUAGCGCCAUGUUGUAUUUAGCGACCGCCUUCCGCAUUCGCUUGUCCUCGCGAUAGGCGGCUCGCUCCUUUCUUCUCUCCUCCCUCUCCGCCCUCCUCUCGACGAAGAAGUGUUUUUCGUUGAUGAUGUCUUGCGGGAAGCAUUGCCUCCACAACGCCAUGACUUCCUCAUCCAUCCCGGUCAGGCUAAGAUGGCACUCCCGUCUCCGGUGUUUGCGACGAUCCUCGUCGGUGUUAAGCCGCCGGAAAGGCGCCAACUCCUGUGCCCGCUCCUCCGUCGCCACGUCGGUGAAGUUCAUGUCCCAACGGGACCGCCGGAGGCGCCACGCCGCAGCGUCGUACGCGCGGGCGCCAUCCUGGGUGGUGGCGAAGGUUCCGAGGCCAAGGCGCACGCCGCCGCCCGACUGAAUCAAGGCGGAAUAGGUGCCGGACGGACGCACGCGGAUGCCGCGAUAGCCGGAACCUUCCCGGCGGCGAGGCGGCAUGGUGGCGCGGUGGUGGCGUGUCGGCGGCGAGGAGAGAAAGCAGUAGAGAGGGCGAGAGAGAGCGGCAGAGGGCGCUGCAAUUUUAUAGGGGCGCGUGAAGCGGCGUGCCAAAUCUAGCGCGCGAGCUGCCGCCUUUUCCCCCGCGCGCUAGUUUGCCGUCACCCCUGGAGCGUGCAAAACCGGGCCGCGCGUGCUAAAAAGCCAAUUUAUCGCGCGCGCGUCUUUUGACGCGCUUGUUGAAGAUGCUCUUAAUUAGGACACAGAUAUUUUACUCACUCCACGCGUGUAAUCGACCAGUCUCUCCAUGAGAAGAUCACCACGAGAUAGCUGAUCGCAACAGGUGCACGGCGCAUGUGAGCUGGCUUUGGCUUUGGGGAUGGGUGGAAGGAGACAAGGAGAUGUUUGGAGUGUUGCCGAUAAAUAAAAGAUGUAAAGCAAAAUUGUGUAAGUGAAACAAUGUCUAGACCGUUGUUCUCAAAUCAGACGGCUCUCGGAGCGCAAAAUCAACCAUAAUGUAGCUUGCCGACUUAGCCGCUCAAAUCUGCGAAUCCCAAGCGACAUGGACAUAUGUGCAGCCGCUUUUGUCCAUUUCUCGUUGAGAGGACAAUACUAUUUCUUGGAGCAUUUUGUUUCAAGGUUUUGUCACACUAAUGACCGAAUUUAUCAUCUGAAGAAAAAUGUAUCAGUUUAAAGGUGGACUUACCACAGUGUAUUUUGCCCAAAUACUUCCUCCCAAACUAAUUGACUGGUUGACCCACCUGCCAGAAUCAUGUGGUGCCGGUGACAAGAAUUACACGUGCGCCGUCUAUUGAAUAUUAUCGCAUUAUCAUCAUGUGGAGUAAACCAUUUUAAGUGCAUUUUCUAUUUAACAGGCACCAGGAAAAUAUUCUCGGUUGGGGCAUCUCCGAUGCCGACCCACAGACCGACCCCAUACUUUCGGACUGCGCUAUCCGACCAUGAAAGCAUCCAACACCGCCCUGUAUCGGCCUGCAGGGCGGUUUAGACGUGAUUUUUUUUUUUUGCAAACCAGAGACAGACAUGAGGAGUUUGCGGGCGUCCGGACCACUGUUAGGCCCGCGUCUGACCGCUCUGGCCCAUCCAAACCCCCUCCCUCGCCGCGCGCUUCCUGCCCGAAACGAUUAGGUGCUUCAGAGCGUCAAUGCAGCAUUCAUGUCUGGCCAGAGCGGACACGACCUAUCACUGGCACCGAUAUUGAAGCGGCACGCAGGCCGAGUGACCGCCGCCCGGCCAUUUCUCGGUGCAGGCAACUACUCCGUGUUCAAACAAGAUGGCGGACGUCCGUCCGUCUACUUGGCGCCCACAUUAAUGACACACGGUUGUCGAGGCAGCUACUUCGGUGCCACCCGUCCGUCCCUCUGCCGCCCACCAUCACAAUAUAAACUACAGCCCUGACCAUUGCCGCGGUCAUCCGCCUCCCAUCCCUUUAUCCUCUCUGCACCAUUCCCGCCAUGGCUUUCUUCCACGCUAAGACUCUUAGGGACGGGCUGAUGCUGGAGCAGAAGAAGAAGAUGGCCACCAUUGCUUUGGCUGGCUGGCCGGCAGGCAAUCGAAGGACGACGACGUCUCAAUGGAGGACGCGGUCGACGACGAGCCGACACCACCCUCCUCGUCCGCGCCACCUACGUCCCAAUGGAGUAUUAAAGUUCGUCGGAACUACAAGGUGCUUCCUUUUUUUGCAUAGUAAUUAAUGUGUGUCACAUUCAUAUCAUAAAGAUCAAAGUACAUGUCACGUAAGGGCUGACAUGGCAAAACUGAAAAGAGAGCAGAACCUCUCUGAGUUUGACACCAAAACUCGCACCUGCCUCUGGCACCAUCAUAGCAGCCACCAAAGAAAAGAAUGAUGGAUCAACUCUUACCCGAGCUCGACGCGGCUCCAUCGCUUAUAUGCAGCUUUGCGGACCUUCAAAGGUGGCUCACCAAAAGUAAAGCCACAGUCGUCGAACAAAUUAGACCGGGACACAUCAUCGAACUCUAGAUCUGUCACUCCACCACGACUAAGACGCCAAAGGAGGAAACCGCACCCUGCCAUCUAUCAACCACGAACACAGCACAUGUUCCGUCUUAUAGAUGUCUUCGAUGCAGACCACAAUCUGCAUCCGCUCCUGGACUACCUUUCACGCUCCGCACCGACAUUGGAGCAGACGUGGUCACAAUGACGGAGUACGAUGACACAUAUUCACCACGAGGAGGCCGUCGGCGUCACACCAUCGUUGAUUGAACAGACUGGUUUCCAAAACUAUCCUCAACCAUAGGGCCGAUCGACUUGUUGGUGAAGAAUAUGAAGAACCUUUAUUCAGCGCCGUCAUCGUCACUGCCGAAGCCAUGACGAUGAACAACCUAAAAACGAAACUACUUUAACUUAUAAUUAUCCACACACGUGGAUUCGGCGAUCCCCUCACCACCGACGACCGAGGUCGUCGGCCAAGGGGAGCCGUUGGAGGACUGCGGCGGAGGAACUCUCCUUGGGAGAGACGCUGGCGAGAUCACAAGGUGCUUUCUUUCAACCACGGUGGAUUGUGUAUUAGCAUUGUGUACUGUCCGUGAACUCUUAAUUUAUACCAGUAUACGUCAUGGUUCCUUACAUGCUUGACUCGAUUGAAAAAAAUUGGCAGGCCUUACCAAAAGGACUAUUCUAUUCACGCACCAAAUGUAUGUGUCCUUGUUAGACUUAGAGAUAUUUGUGUUAUGUAAUCUUAACUAAUUCCUCUAUCCUUUUCUCUCCCGUUUAACUUCCUAUCCUCAUCCUGCUGAAUCCUAGCGAUCGGUGGGCUUCUUGUAAACCACGGCAGGGGUUGUUCCUGCCCCCAAUCAAUAUAAGCCCGCGGCUCCUCUACGGAGGAGUAGGAACGCUUCAUCGAUCCAAUCUAACAUGAUAUACAGAGCCAAGUCUCUUCCUAUCGUCUAGCAAAACCAAAACCCUAAACACCACCCUUCCAUCGCCAUGGCUAUGAGCUCAAGCGCCAUCGCUCUCAACCUAGGUGCUCCACCAACAGAGAAGCUCGCAAGGGGAAACUACCUCCUAUGGAAGGCGCAGGUCAUGCCGGCACUGCAGGCGCGCAAGUGACCGGUCUUCUCGACGGCAGCGAUGCCUCACCGCCGAAGACAGUAGAAGUUACCAAGGCGGACAAAACCACGGCCAUCGAGCCCAAUCCUCUGUAUGGCCCGUGGUUGUCGAAGGAUCAACAGGUUCUAAGCUACCUGCUGAACUCUCUCACCCAGGAAAUCCUUGCACAAGUCAUCGGUAAGGACAGCACCUUUGAUCUGUGGACUACUCUUACCACGUUGUUCGCUGCGCAGUCGAAAUCCCGCAUAACCAAUCUGCGGAUGGCCAUCUCCAACACCAAGAAGGGCAACAUGUCGAGCAACGCCUUCAUCGCCAAGAUGAAGAACCUCGGGGAUGAGCUAGCACUAGUGCAGAACCGAGUUGUAUUACUGGUUCGUAAGGCCCUUUAGUGUCGGUUCUGUAACCGGCACUAAAAGGUGGAGACUAAAGCCCCCCCCCCCUAGUACUGGUUCAGUACAAAUCGCCACUAAAAGGCCACCACGUGGCACGAACCAGCUCCGAGGGCGGGAAGACUAAAGGUUUUUUAAUAAAGCAAAACAACCCACCUACUGGGCCGGCACGACCUGCAUACGACUACAAACCCAACCUCUAGUUGGGCCAGGAUGCAGGCCUGUACGGCCCAAUAGGCCCCACAGGGCAAAAGACUUGCAAUAGGCCCACAAAGGCCUGCUUAGAGAGGAGCUCGACACGGUAGCCGCGGCGGGGCUUAUAAACCGGUGCGAGCUCCGCUCAACUAGCGAGGUGGGACUAAACAUUGCGCACUGUGGGUGGUAGCGCACCCCUUUAGUACUGGUUGGUGGCACAAACCCGUACUAAAGGGGGGGUCUUUAAUACCGGUUGGAGCCACCAACCCAUACUAAAGGUCACCACCUCUUUAGUACCGGUUCGUGACACAAACCGGUACUAAAGGUUCGCCACGAACCGGUACUAAUGAGUGCCGCCCGCCUAGCCGUUGGAACCGGCACUAAUGGUCACAUUAGUGCCAGUUCAAUUACAAACCGGGACUAAUGAGCUUCACAUUAGGCCCUUUUUCUACUAGUGCAGCUACGGCUGGACGUCCAGUAACCGAUCCAGAGAUGGUAGAUUACAUCCUGGCUGGCCUUGAUCGGGACUAUGAUCCCAUCGUGGCAGCGAUCGGCGUCAUCAAGAACUCCAUCAGCGUCGACGACUUCUUCGUGCAGAUCUCAGUGUUCGAUCAGCGGAUGGAGAUGCUGGGAGACGGACCAGCAGGCUUCCGCUCCUCUGCCAACGCCGUCUACAGGGGGCACAGGCAGUACCGUGGCAGGGGAGGCCGUGGCCGAAGCAGCAGAGGAGGACGCGCCCAAGGGAACCGCUCUUCUCCCUCCCCUAGCCGCGGUGGUGGUGGCGGCCAUCAGCAGCAACGAUUCCGUUCCCAACUGCAACAACAACAACAAGAAGAAGGAGACUACCCAGAGUGCCAGAUCUGUAGGGAUCUACGGUAGGGUGCGUCGACUGCAAAUUAAAAUUUUCCUACGCGCAGAACAACAUGAACAUGCUAUGGGAGAUGGAUCAUAGUUCGUUACCACUAGACGCGCAGUGCCGUGUAGCGGAAGAAGAGUUGGGGCAGCGCUUCUGCAUGGAUCGUCUCCUCCUCGUCCGAUCUCCCUCGAACAGCCGGUCAUCUGAUCCCACGUACAAGUUCGCCAGAGCGGCGCAAGUGCACCGCCUCUAACGGUAUCCGCGCAUGCAGGAGGAACACCGUGCGGUAGACUACUAGGUCCGAUCACACAGUCGGCGGCGAGUGGAGGUGGCUAUUCACAACACAUGCGAACCCUAGUCGCAGCGCCGAAGCGAUCAACCGCAUGAGUGUUCCGCACCUCCACUUUAUAUAUAUAGGCGUCCGUCGCGGGCUCAACACUUGGGCCUCGUACGGAUCCUAAAGCCCACAAGUCUACUCGGCCACAAUCCGAAUACAGCUCGGAUCACAUCUGACCAGUGUCCUCGGAUCCGACCUUGUAGGUUCCUUCCCUUAAGCGCGCGACCCCUUAGGUUCAAGUCGACUUGGUCGCAGUUCGGAUCACCUCCGAACUGCACGGUUGGUAGCGGCCUCUAGCAAGGCAUGCCGAACACCAAGCAGACCAUGAAGCUGGUUAGGCGAACCUGUACAACGUGUCACACUUCUGUUCCCUUUUGCCACACGAUAUAUGUUGUCGGGCUCAAGGCGAGACUGUCAUCCUUGUGCUAGCCCGACCUCUUUCUCGUUCCAGUGAUACCGACCACAAUCCGGAUUAUCUCAUAAUCCUUGUCGCAUGGCCAUGCUUAUCCUGAUCGGAUCACACGAGGGGCCCAGAGUAUAUCUCUCCUGAUCGGAGGGGCAAAUCCCAUCUUGCUCGACCAUGUCUCGCAGCAUGGGACUGGACAAACCCGAAACCUACCUUUGUAACUACCCAGUCACGGAGUGGCGUUUGGUCGGCCCAAAGCAAGUCUGUCACCAUCCUGAGUACAUGCAUCAGCUCGGGUCUUAUGACACAGAAUGUAUGUUGUACUAGAGACUCACAGAUGACAUAUCACUGCGUCUCAUAGUUGGGUCUGUCCGACUCGGACCUUAUCUCGACUCGGAUCCGACUACGUCGUAUCCGACCAGACCAGACCUUUCCAAGUCCAUAUUAUCCUGUUAGCAUCCAAUGCUCCAUGGCUAGUGAGACCGAGCCAUCGACCGUGCCAUAUGCUAGUCUAGUCGGAUGCACGUCCACACAACCCUUUCGACUAGGGACCUUUUAGGACAGUCAUCAUACAAUGCAUAGUCCCACAAACAAGUCACGUACUUGCUGAUACACAUCAUUGAUAAUGUCCAAGGACUAUCUUUAUUCAUAAACACAUAGGAAAUAUCAUCAUACAUGAUUGCCUCUAGGUCAUAUCUCCAACAAGAUCUGCUACAAGUUUCAUGCUGGUGGCGCAAGAGCCUGCUGGCAUCGAUAUGAUGAUGAUCAUGAGGAGAAGAAAGCAGCCAACCUCGUCACCAACAACUACGGUAUCGACACCAACUAGUACGCAGACUCCGGCGCUACUGAGCACAUCACCGGGGAGCUUGACAAGCUAACUAUGCGGGAAAGGUAUCAUGGCGGUGAUCAUAUGCACACGGCAAGUGGAACUGGUAUGGACAUUAAUCAUGUUGGAAAAACAAUUGUUAAAACCCCCGUAAAAGAUUUACACCUUAAUAAUGUCUUACACAUUCCACGUGCUUCUAAGAAUCUCGUUUCUAUUCAUCGCUUUGCCCUUGACAACAACGUUCUCAUAAUAUUUUAUUCCUACUCUUUUGUGAUCUACUCUUUUGUGAUCAAGGAUUUGGCAACGAGGAGAGUCAUCCUUAGAGGAAAGUGUGAGGGAGGCCUAUAUCCACUCAUAUCAUCUUCAUCUUCAUCACGGUCGAAUAAGCAAGCGUGGAGUGUCACCAAACCUUCCUCGGCAAGGUGGCAUAGUUGUAUCGGUCAUCCCUCUUCAGUUAUAGUUCAACAUGUCCUUAGCAAGAAUAAUCUUCCAUAUGAGUCUAGUGUUGAGUCAAUUUGUGAUGCUUGCCAGCAAGCCAAAAGUCAUCAGCUACCUUACCCUAUAUCUACGAGUGUAUCCACUGCUCCUUUGCAGUUAGUUUUUUCCGAUGUAUGGGGACCAGCUCCCACAUCAGUUGGCAGAUUUUCUUAUUAUGUUAGUUUCAUUGAUGAUUAUAGCAAGUUCACUUGGAAUUAUUUGCUAAAGAAACGAUCUAAUGUUUUCCAAGUGUUCCUUAACUUCCAAAACCUCGUAGAACGCCAACUAGACUCAAAGAUUCUUGCUAUGCAAACCGACUGGGGUGGUGAGUAUGAAAAAUUAAAUUCCUUUUUCCAAAAAAUUGGAAUUUCUCACCAUGUCUCUUGCCCCCAUGCUCACCAGCAGAACGGGUCAGCUGAACGCAAACAUCGUCAUGUUGUUGAGGUAGGACUAGCCUUCCUAGCCAAUGCUUCCAUGCCCCUAAAAUUCUGGGAUGAAGCUUUUCUCACUGCCACAUAUCUUAUAAAUAUUCGACCAAGUAAAGUCAUCAAAUUCGAGAGUCCCAUCACAGCCUUUUUGGCAUCAAACCAGACUUCAAAUCCCUUCGAGUCUUUGGUUGUGCAUGUUGGCCAAAACUAAGGCCAUACAACACACGCAAACUUGUGUUUCAUUCAAAAAAAUGUGUGUGUUUGGGCUAUAGCCCUAUGCACAAAGGAGUUAAGUGUCUCGAUGUUCCACCGGCAGAGUUUAUAUUUCUCGAGAUGUUGUGUUUGAUGAAUCAGUUUUCCCGUUUGAAUCCCUUCAUCCUAAUGCCGAUGCUCUCCUUCGUCAAGAGAUUCUUCUUCUUCCAUCUACACUUCGAGAUUUUGAUCACGGGGGAAACAAUUGCACUAACCAACAUGAUGAUAGUAUUCCUACUGGAAUCAGUCCUUGUCUUCCGUGUGUGCAGGUCUCUGAAGAAAACAGAGUUCAAAACGAUCAAAAUGAUCAAAAUCACGUUCAAAACGAAGCUAUAUUGCAUGUGGAACAAGAAGACGAAGCUGGCGCGACGUACGAAGACGAUCUGGCGGCGCCUGCCACUCCUGCGUGCCAAUCCUCCUCGGAUCGGGCGCGGAUAUCCGCCCUGGAUCGCGAGCCAGUCGGCCUGCACGACCAGGGCCGGGCGACGCAAUCAGCGAUCGCCACGUCUUCACGUGUGGAAUCCUCCUUGAGCGCCGGCCCGCGCAUGUAGCCAGCUGCGAGGCGCGGCUCGCACAUGCGGCCAAUAGGCCCACCUGGCGCGGGAUCGGCUAUGGCAACGGGCGGUGCGGUCAUGAGUGUGCAGGCCACACCCGCGGCCACUGGAUCUGGUGUGGCAUCUCCUGGUUCCUCUCCGAGAUCUUCUGGAAGCAGUGAUGUCGUGCGUCCGUGUGUACAACAACCUCCACCAGCCACGUCAGGAGUUACAACUCGGCUACAAAAAGGUAUUAAGAAUCAAAAUAAGAACUGAUGGCACUAUACCGUAUGGUAUGUUGUGCAUUUCAUGUGAGCCAACAAAAUUGAAUGAUGCACUUGGAGAUCAAAAGUGGAAAAAGGCUAUGGUUGAGGAAUAUACAGCUUCAAUGAGAAACAAAACAUGGCACUUGGUGCCAAAUCAGAAAGGUAAAAAUAUCGUUGACUGUAAGUGGGUGUAUAGGAUCAAGAAAAAGGCAGAUGGCUCCAUUGACAGGUAUAAAGCAUGCCUUGUUGCUAAAGGUUUUAAGCAGCAUUAUGGUAUUGAUUAUGAGGAUACAUUUAGUUCUGUGGUAAAAGCUGCAACCAUAAGACUUGUGCUAGCUAUUUUUGUGUCGAGGGGAGGCAGCUAGACGUAAUGCGUUUUUGCAUGGUGUUCUGAAAGAGGAGGUCUACAUGAGGCAACCACCAGGCUAUGAAAACAAAAAAAACUUCAUCAUGUAUGCAAACUUGACUAGGCCCUUUAUGGUUUGAAACAAGCACCUAGAGCAUGGUAGUCUAGGUUAAGUAUGCAGUUGAAACAUCUUGGAUUUAUCGCAUCAAAGGCUGACACAUCUCUCUUCAUAUACAAUAAAGCAAAUACUGUUAUUUUUGUGCUCAUAUAUGUUGAAGAUAUUAUAGUUGCAAGCUCAUCUCAGAAUGCUACUGACGCUCUCCUGCAUGAUCUGAGCUCAAAAUUUGUUUUAAAGGAUCUUGGUGAUUUGAGUUUCUUUUUAGGCAUUGAGGUUAAGAAGGUUCGGGAUGGUAUAGUGUUGAAACAGGAAUAAUAUGCCAUUGAACUCUUGGCUCGGAUGGGAAUGAAGGAUUGCAAGUCUUCACCUACACAAUUAUCUUCAUCAGAAUAGCGGUCAGCAUAUGAAGGGGAGCCACUUAAAGAGGAAUAAAGCACUAAAUACAGAAGUGUUGUUGGAGCAUUGCAAUAUUUAACCUUGACAGGACCAGAUAUUUCAUUUGUUGUUAAUAAAGUAUGUCAAUACUUGCAUGCUCCUACUUCUACUCAUUGGACAGUUGUCAAAAGAAUCAUACGGUAUGUUAAGCACAUUGUGGGUUUGGGACUACAUUUCAGACGUUUCAAUUCUACACUUGUUAGUGCUUUUUCUGAUGCAGACUGGACAGGCUGCAGUGAUGAUAGAAAAUCAACAGGUGGGUUUGCUGUUUUCUUUGGUUCUAAUCUUAUUUCGUGGAGUGCCAGGAAACAAGCAACAGUGUCAAGAUCAAGUACUGAAGCUGAGUACAAGUCACUGGCAAAUGCUACUGCUGAAAUUAUUUGGCUUGAAUCUUUGCUUGAGGAAUUGGGUGUGAAGCAACAUCGUAUUUCAUGCCUAUGGUGUGAUAAUUUGGGUGCUACUUAUUUAAGUGCCAAUCAUGUUUUUCAUGCCAGGACCAAGCAUAUUGAGAUAGAUUUUCACUUUGUACGAGAAAGAGUUGCAGAGAAGAAGUUGGAGAUACGGUUUAUUCCUUCCAGAGAUCAAGUGGCUGAUGGGUUCACUAAAGCUCUACUAUACAAGCCAUUUGAAGCAUUCAAGAACAAUCUCAAUCUAGAAUAGGUAGUUCAGAUUAAGGGAGGAUGUUAGACUUAGAGAUAUUUGCGUUAUGUAAUCUUAACUACUUCUUCUAUCCUUUCCUCUCCCGUUUAACUUCCUAUCCUCAUCCUGCUGAAUCCUAGCGAUCAGUGGGCUUCUUGUAAAUCACAGCAGGGGUUGUUCCUGCCCCCAAUCAAUAAAUACCCGCGGCUCCUCUACGGAAGAGUAGGAAGGCUUCGUCGAUCCAAUCUAACAGUCCUAGCAUUAGCGAAUUUAGCAUGGUGGAUUGACAACAUAGCAAGGUCGAUUGACAACAUCAUCAUGACACGAUGCGUGCGAAGACAAUGUCUAGCAAGGAGACACAUUGCUGUUUGCCGUAGGUACGUGAACGUACGUGGUGUAGAUGGAGGCAGCGUCGACACGCAGAUCUUUUCCCCGUCAUCUUUGACCGUGACACGUGCAUGCCUUGUAGGGUGCGGUCCAUAUGCUUGCAGGCAUAGGAACAAAGUGUUUGUUACCUAGCCCCGUCUCUGGCUUGGCACAUGCACCUGCUGGAUAAUCACCCUCAGCCAGGUGCUUAUGUUUACCUAGCUGUCUAGCAUUUCUUUUUUGAAAUGAAGAGAGGCUAGGAGCCUGUGGUUACGUGUCCUUUUUCGUGAGUCACGUCGACCGGAAGCUUGGUAAUGUGUAGCUAGCCUGCUUCUGCCUGUAGCACAUUUCAGAUCAUUGUGCUCUGUGCAGUGUACAGAAUGAAGCACGACACAUGUGUGCAUGCAAGUGGGUGAUGGAUACAUUUCGAUCCGUGCAUCCCGGUCCUAAUGAGACGCGACACAGAUCUCAUAGCGCGCGGAGCUUGCAUGGAAAGAAUAAUUAACCAGCUGCUGCCAACACGAUAACUCCGAUCCUAAAAAAAACGAUAACUCAGGGAGCACUUUUUUUUUUUUUGAACUCAGGGAGCACAUGAAUGAAUUCACAGACGCUAACAAACUGCAUGGACCAGUACCACCCUAGGAAAUCAAAAGCGCACACAAUUUUUUUUGCGGGGACACACAAUUUUAAUCGAAUCAGUUAACAAAAACGCGGAAGAUCACACAUAGUACUGAAAGUUGACAUGUGAUAUUAAUUACUUUAUUACAAUUGUAGGAGGAGCAACCUCCUUUUGAAGCAAAUAUAAUAGUAGCAGGCAGCGGUACAAGCAUGAGAUCAUAUGUGGCUGAGAACUCGAUCCAUGGUCCAUACAGUACCGUGGCCUAGUUCGAUGACAAGCAGUAGUUCAAAGGAUACUACCCCACACACACACACACACAGAGACACGAGCACACAUGUAAAGUUUAGCAUGCAACUAGCAAGAGCGAUGAUAAAUUAUGAAGCAAAUAACGUAUACGACUAGCUAUAGAGUACUAGUCAAUGGAUGGAUCGUAGAUCAUGCAUGCGAGCUGGUGUACGCAUGCAUGCACGUACGUACGUAUAGUGGAUGCCUGCUGUGGACGAUGGAUCUCUCGGGUCUUCUCUUCUAGCGGGGGCACUGGAAGCCGGAGGGGACGUUCUUGCCGCAGUAGUUGACGAGGAGGCUGAGGUCGAUGGGCACGUUGAGGUUGAUGCCCAGGAUGUUGGCCUUGAGCGCCGUGCAGAGGCACACCGCCGCCUCCAGGUCGGCGAGGCCCUGGAUCAGCGAGCAGCACGGCUGCUUCGGCGGCGUCCCCAGCUGCAGGUUGAUCAGCCCGUUGAGCACGUUGGCGCACACGCCCAGCUUCAGCGCGUCGAUGGGGCACCGCGCGCGCCCGCCUGAUCCGCC
This 58393-nucleotide long non-coding RNA is filed under the name Triticum aestivum (bread wheat). RNAcentral's name for it is "long non-coding RNA (TAES_LNC003886)". The stretch from base 35302 to 35388 matches the Rfam family "MIR1120/MIR1122 microRNA precursor family". Lineage: Eukaryota; Viridiplantae; Streptophyta; Magnoliopsida; Poales; Poaceae. The record is from RNAcentral.